AAAAAAAAAAAAAAGUGGGACAGAAAAAAGAGGAAAAUGAAAAGAGAAGCAAUUAAUCAAAGGGUGUAUUAUUCCAUCCUCCAUUUCACAUAAAACAAGGAAAAAGCCAUAAAAUGAGUAACCACAAAAGUCCACAAAAGUCUCUGCCAAACUUCAUUCUCACCCCAUAUAUAUGUAUAAAUAUAGGUCCCUCCCUACCUUUAGUUGUCCUUUAAUUAUCUUCUCCAAAGCCUCCUUCCCUAUCACCAUUGCCCCCCCUCCCCCAGCUCCAUUUCCUAUCACACUUUAACAUGAUAUCAGAGCAGACAGAGGUCUUGAGAUCGAGUCUCGCCACCAUCCAUAUAAGACGAUCACACACUUUAACAUAUGCCAUAUUAGAAAUCAAUCAAAAUUUCGAUAGACGUUCUAUCAUAAAAUUGCUCGUCGAAGAUGUUUUUAAUGAAUUUUUAAUCAAAAAUCCAACACGCAUAUGUCUAUCAAAAUUUAACUGAUUUCCGAUAAAUUCCAACAAAUAUUUCGAAAGAAAAUAUUAUAUAGUAUCUAUUUAUUAGUUUUUAAAGAUUUGAAUUCAUCAAGUCUAAAUUCUGAAUCGACUUUUAUACAUUCUACUACUCCACCCCACAUAUUGGAAUAAUACCAUACAUGUCAAUAUAUGCACAUAUAUUUGGCUAGUCACUUUUUCUCUCCCAAAACCCUAAUAUAUCCCAUGCACAUGUCUACAGCAUGGGCAGACACAUGAAAAUGGACCCCUUCUUGUCUUUGCUCACGUGUGAGUGUGAGAUUAAUUUGUGUCUACACAUUGUAUAAUAAUGUAUACCAUGAUAAAUGAUUGUGUGUGUAUAUAUAUCGACAUAUAUAGUACUCCAUAUAAUAUGCAUGGUAAGUGACUUCAUUAUAAUGUAAAAAUUGUUAAUAUAAGUUUAUGUAAUUGUUACAUUUGAUGUCCUAUAUGUGUGUUUGUAAAUUGUAAUGAUACACUACUAUAUCAAUCAUUUGGACAUGUUGAGCAUUUUUAUAUGAGAAAUUUUGAUGCUGCAAAAUUUGUAUUAUGCAAUAAUCAUUAAGAAAGAAAGAAAAUUACACAUAUAAUUUUGCUUAUAAGAAAUUUAUAAAGGGAUAAGUCGACGUGGAAUGAUUAUUAUAACUAGUCCAUGCGCAUUUCACUUGUCGUAUCACAUUGAUUAUUAACUUGACUAUAUAUAUACUAAUUAAUAAUAAUUUUACACAAAUCACAUAGUGUUAAGAGUAAAUUACAUUUUAUUCCUACUUUUUUUUCAAAUUACAAAAAUUCCUUAAAUUUGGUGGAAUCCGGAUACAUCUUGAUACAUCACUCAAUGUCUCGAUACAUCGCGUCUCGAUUGCAAAUACAUCACUCGAAGUCCUGAUACAUCGCGUAAAUUGAUGUAUCCGAGAAUAGAAGAGAGUAAAGAUUUUUAUAAUUUUUUCAAAUGGUACAAACUUUUUAAACCAAAAUAGGAUUAAUUACAGAAAUCCACCUUUUAAUUUACUUAUUACCAUUAUCCCCUAUAAGUUUUACAAAUCUCCAAAAUCCCUCAUUUUCACGCACCAGAUUAGUGUAUCUCGCGCAUCAGAUUAUGUAUCAUGUAUAAAAUGUACAUCAGAUUAGUGUAUCAUGUAUAAAAUGUAAUAUAUCUUACUUAACGAUUAAUGUAUCUCGCGCAUCAGAUUAAUGUAUCAACGCUUAUAUUAUUGUAUCCAUUUGAGGGAUUUCUGUAAUUAUAAACGUUUAAGGGAUAGAUUGAAAUUUUGCCUUAAAAAUAUGUGAUUUCUGUAAUUGCCGUAAAAAAUAUAAUAAAAUAAGUUAUGUAUGUGGGUAAUUUUCCAUAUAUAUUAUCACCUAAAGUGGCUAAAUAUAUAUAUAUAUAUAUAUAUGAAAAGUGUAUAUGUUUUUGGAAAUUAUUCCCUUCCACCCUCCCCCACCAAUAGUAACAAGUCAUUAUUAUAGCAUUAAAAUGAAGACGUUAACAUUUUUUUUUUCAUCUACCUCAUGUCAAUUAUAUUUCAAAUGAAGAAAAGUGACAAAAUUAGACUAUGAAAAUAUGACUCGUUCAAUUUAUUUAAAUUUGUGCGGAUUAAUUAUUAUCCAUUUCAACAUGUUCAAAUUCAAGUGAUAACACUAUUCUAUAGGCAGAAUCAAGUUAGAUAUAUAUCAAGUCUGCUCAAUACUCUUAACGGUGAUCAACUCAAGCUAAUCUAAAUAACGUAGCAUAUCAAUUUCAAUUUACACAUGUCAUUUUUGCAUAGGAUCAUGAUAAUCUUCCCUGUAUCGCGUUCAAUGAAAUAUGUACGAUCGAUUACAUCAAAUUGAUUCAUAUAUUAAAUGAACAAAAACGAGACAACAAAAAGGGCAGAAGAACAUGAUAUAUUAGCUGGCUAAGAACAUAAUAAUUUUGUCCAAAACAAAGUAUUAUGGUGAGAGGGCCACAAAUGUCUCCAACUAUAAGAAAAACACUACGAAUAACAAUUUCCUUAAUAAUCAAAUAGUACUAAAUAUUAUAUUAUUUCUAAAGGGAAAAAAAUAUCAAAGUUUGAGACAAACAAUAGUGGAAUAAAGGGAUACAACAAAUGGAGGUGUUUUAAUUUUCUGGCUUUCUUGCUGGCUAUCAUAUCUUGUAAACUUAGAUUGAUUAGUUCCCUCUAUGUUGACAAGCAAAUCAAACUAACAUUAUGUUUGGUUUUUUCAUGCAUGUAGCUAAGGUACGACGUGAUAGAAACACACAUGUAUGUUGCUUUUGCAAUUGAGUAUUAUAACUGUGACAUGUUCUGAUCAAUCAAAUAUAUAUUUAUCGCCUAGCUCCAUAUGAUUGACAAAUGGUUAUAUAGAAUCUUAGUAGCUAAUUAGUUGGGUGGUUACUUGAACUUAUUUCACUGUGAGUGUUCGGGGGAUGUAUUUAAGUUUAGUUAGUCAAGUAGAGGAGUGUUUUUUAGGCUGUCAAUAGUUCGAGGACGAAACUAACAAUUCACGGCCAAGUUCAGAGGUGUUUUCAAUACUUCUGUCAAAAUAAAUUGAUGGAUGGUUCAAGUCGACUAAUCAAAAUAAUAUUUUUACCCACUCUAACAUUCCCUGGGCCCAACUAGAGUGUAGACCGGGAGCCAAGGAGACCACUAGUCCAUUCAUCAACCAAUGAUAUCAUGUAAAAACAUGACACCUCAGUCUAACUCAAUCCCAAAAGUUAGCUCAUGAGAUGAGGAUUGCUCAAGUCCAUAUAAGGAGACCACUAAUCUAUUUCCCAACCAAUGUGGGACUUUACCCACUCUAACAUAAAAUAUGCUUUCAUAGUGAAUUUACGUAGAUGGUCUUUAUGGAAUAUUAUUAUACUUUAUAAUUUAAGUUAAUAACGUCUAUUUCUUUGAAAAAUAUUGCACAUCGAAUAUGGAUGGUAUAAUAUAUAGUUUGACCUCAUGGAAAUAAUUGAAAAUUGUUAGUAAGUCAUAGAUUUGUUUUUUUUUUUGUGAUAACACAUAAGCUUAAAACUAAAAUACAUACCAAAGAUUUUAUCUUCAAAUUGUUUUAGGUCUUGGGCAAGGAAAAAGAAAGCCUAACAAAUUAAAUUAUAUACAGUAAUGUCAAUUUAAUUGGAACUAUUUUGGUCAAUGAUGAUAAUAAAAUCUUGAAUUUUCAAACUUUUCUUUCAUUUUCAAAGCAACUAUCUAGGUGUAAUAAUAUUGACUCAAAUUAAAUUGCUAGAGUAAAAUAUAUCAUUAGAAUGUUUUAUUAGUAUUUACUGUUAAAAAAAUCUUUGAAAUUGUUCUUUGACUAGAAAAUUAUAUAUAAAGACAAAUUGAGGUGCCUAAAUUCUUAGAUUUUAAUAAUUUUAACGAACUUUUGAAAAUUGUUGGUGAUAUAGGGUCCCAUUUCUAAAAUUGAUCAAAUGAUGUAUGAUUAAACACUUCUAAAUUUAGAAAUAAGAAUUAAGAUUGACAGUAACAAAAAAAAAAAUGAUUACAUUAACUUUUUUUUUUUGCUUCUUUGAAUAACAUGUUCUCAUUUUAUGAUUAGAUUGUAGAAAAUAUUCUUAUACGCAAGCAUUUUCAUAUUGAUAUGACCAAAUAGACUUAGAUACUUUGUAUCGUUCUCUAUCUUUCAAGACAUAAGUACGAAGAAAAACACAUCAAAAAAGAAAAAGAAAACUACGAUAUGAAUUUCUUGAUUUUCUAUUUAUUAAAAAGAAAUUAUAUGACUAAAUAUAGGUUGUCCAUUGAUACUAACAAAUUAGAUGACGAUGAAGUUAUAAGUUCUUUAUUCUUAACUAAAAUCUUCUGAUUCAAGUCUUCAAUAUGAAUAUUGUCUUUGUUAGAAAGCUUUUGCUUCGAUAUAAAACUUUUUAUCGAGAAUCUCAAUUUAACAACCCCAAUACAAAUAUCAGACUAAUGAAAUACCAAAGGAAAAAAGGUUAAUACUAAAAUUUAAAAGGAAUGAAUGUGCCCUUUCCACUUGUUGAAGUUAGAUUGAAUGGUAUGUCUCUUACUUUUUUUUUUAAUUAUUCUUUUAGUAAAAAAAAAAAAAGUCAUCUUGGUGGCUAAUUUUUAAAGAGUUUAUUUAUUUUUUUCAAAAAAAGAAAAGAAAUAAUUUAUAGAGAAAAAGGACAAAAGUGCAAUAUUUAGAAAAUUGAAGACAGUGCUUCUCCAUUUGGGGAAAGAGCUUUUGCCUUUUGGUUUCACCAAAAUAUUAUACUAUUAACUAGGAAAAAAAUAAGAGCUUAGUAUUAAGUAAAAUUUGGGAUAUCACUUAUCGAGACCACAAUAUCUUUAUUUUUUAUGUCAAAGAAAAUCCUGUUUUGAUCUAAUCUUGAUAACACCAACAAAGUAAAAAGUGAUUUUUUUUUAUAAAUAGACUAAUCGAGAUUUUCAACACCUUAAAUUUAUUAAAAGGGAAGCAAUUUCAAUAAAAAAAGAGUCAUUCCUAAAGUAGACGGGUAAAGACACGACAUCAUCAAAAUUAAACUUCAACCAUUAUUUUUUAUGACGCCUAUCAUAGUAAAUUCACAUUAAUCUAAGUUAAUUGUGUGCUCGUAACAACACUUGAGAGGCUAAUAUACAUUUUACGAUAUCACUAAAAUUAAAUACGAUAUAGGAGAACAAUAACACACGAUAUGCAUGAUAUAAUCUAAUUAAGGGUGAAAGAAUUUUAUCGAGUUCGAUUCAUAGGAGAACAAUUGGCGGGUGAUAAAGAGACGUUUUUGUUACCUACUCCCUACAACCCACGUUCUCUAUCCUUUUCAAGCCACUAAUUUUUUGAUUAUUUUUUUACCGCCGUAAUUUAUGGUAAAAGAUUAAAUCAUAAUCUCAUAGGGCUACGGUAAAAAAAUAAAAAAAUUGUAGAGUAAAUCGAAGUGUUUGGGAAAAAAUAAUGCAAAAAAAGUAGUGCAUGUGCCCCCUAAUAAUAGGACAACGUAAUAUCAACGUCUUUUAGAUUGAGAAGAAUGUUGUGCUACGUGACAUUUCUUUCUUGAAAUUUAAACAAUCUCAAUCUACUACUAUUCACAACUUUCAUGAGGGAUAAGGUAAUCAAGCGGUCGUGGCGGAGUUGGUGUAAUACGUGAUAUUCCAUAAGAAAGGUCAAGAAUUUGAUUUUCUUUGUCAAUGUCUUUUUAGUCAUAUUCAUUGCAUUGGACGGUUUACAUCACUUAUAUAGUAUGCGAGUUGUUGUAUAGGAAUGAGUUUACUCAGUACACACCUGAGGAAUAACAAUUGUGGAUUUUAAAAAUAAGAUAAAAGUAUUGAAAACACCUUUAAACUUGACGUAAAUUAUUAGUUUCGUCCUCGAACUAUCAACAACCUUAAAAAUAUCCCUCUAGUUGAUUUACUGAACUGUAGUACACCCUGAUCUUGUCACAUGAGUGAAAUACACUUUUAAAUUCUCAUCAAACUUAGAGGUGUUUUCAACAAUUCUCUCGAUUUUUUUAUUAAGAGCCACACACUCCUACAAGAGUUUGAGACCACUUGUUAUGCUAUGUGACAGAUCAUGGUGUAUUUAAAUUCAGUUAAUCAAGUAAAAAAGUGUUUAUGUUUAUCAAAUAGAGAUAAAUAUUUAGAUGUGCGUAAGUUGUUGGAUGAUGUUAAUAUUAUGCCUUAAGCGGCCUAUAUUUAUUUAUUUCUUUCUUUCUCUAUCAACUUUGUGUAAAGAUAGAGCAUCAAAAUGUAAUUAGCAUGCUAGUUUAUUACACCUAGCUAGCUAAUGACAUAAUUAAAGACACCAUAGCUUAAGAGCUAAUGAACUAUUUUGAGUUGAAUAUGACUUUUUCAACAUUUCAACAUUAUGAAAAUGAAAAAAGUAAGACAGCUUUUGAGGUGAUAUGUUCAUUGUAUUACAACCCAUGCUUGGGUUAGUAGGGUAGGAUUAUGGGCACAUCGAUCAGUAUCAUCAUCCUGUUCAUUAUUUUUCAUCUUUUCUUUUUAAUUUCUCAUUCGAUGUUCAGUAUUCAGAUUCUGUGAUUCUAUUCUAUUUUAUACAGAUAUAAGGUCUACUAAUAGAGAAAACACUCUCUAGUCUCUACUAGUUUUUUUUUUUUUUCAUUUUUAAAAUUUCAGUAUUGAAGUUGAGUCAAAAUUUUAACGAAGAAAUAUGAUUUUAAGUGUUAAUAACUAAGUUCGAGCAAGCUUGUAUCCAUUGUAGUUUCGUUUCUCCAAUGUCAUUUUCCCUUUUUCAUACUUAUUUUGAUAUGUUGUACUCGAAUCAAGGGUUCUUCGAAAUCAGUUUGUUACCUCUACGAGGUAGGAUAUGAUGCGUACACUCUAUCCUUCUUAGACUCUACUUGUGAAAUUUCAUAUAUGUUGUUGAGCAAGCCCGAAUCUAAACUUCUCCUUACACACAUAUCUCUAAUAACAUAUAAAGAAUCAUAUUCAUCCCAUCAUAACCUUCGUAUUCACAAUCAUUGUCUCGACAAUAUAGAGAUCAAAAGCACUUUUGACUCAUGCAGCUUUGUGCUCUCUUUUCUUUUUCUCUUUGUAUAUGAGUUAUAUCACGUUGCUCUCAAUUAAAGCCCCCACACUUAAAGUGCUUUGUGCCCAAUUUUUUUUUAAAAAGUUGCAAAUUGCAAAGAUCCAUUGUAGCCUUAGUAGGGAAAAUAAAAUAAAAUUUACUUUCAAAGAUCCACCCAAUGUUUCCCCUUUUUUCCUUUUUUAUAAACAACAACUCUUUUAGCAUCUAAUGCUACUUUUUUCUUUUGAGGUGAAAAUUCUAACUUUGAAUGUGAGAUGUCUCUCUUUUUUAUGAAUACAUCAUUUUCGAAAUAUGAAAUCUUUUUUUUAACACAACACGACAAAAAAAUAGUCAGACGUUCAUACUGAGUCCAAAAGAUCAUGCCCCUAAAGGAUAAUAUAAACAGUCUAUUGAUUUCACUACUGGAACAUGUAACAUGAGAUCUUUUGAAUAAUAGUCUUAAGAAUCUAAAGUAAUUUACAAUGGAAGUAAACAACUAGCAAACCAAACUAUUACAAUUAAUAACCUUAGUAAAUAAAUAAAUACACACGGUACGAUUGGUUAAUUAAACAAAAAAGGUACUAAAAAUCUAACAUUGAAAAGUCAAAAUCAAUUUGAAUUUCUACUAAUUGACAAAUUUUUUUCUUUUCAAAUUGAUAAUUCACACGCGUAAUGAUUAUGGGAAAGAAAAUAUAGACUAUAGAUUAUAAUUAAUCAUCCCUUUUGCUUCCAUGUUUUGCUCCUUCUUGUCUCCUCUUUUCUAAAUUUUGCAACAUUUUUGAUGUUUUUUUUUCUUCAAAUGGAGGCCUUCAAAAACUAAUUUAAGUCAAAUUUCUUGUCCUAAUGCUCCAAAUAUCUGGGAAUUUUCAUGAGUAAUUUUAAUUAAUUCUCAUCCCAUGAAUUAAUUAAACCAUUAAUGAUUCCCACUAUUGUUUUCCUCCUUUCUUCACUUGACAUAUAUUCUUAUAAUCCAAGAAUAAUGUAGUACACUAAUGUGAUUGGCAACGCUAUCAACAUCCCGAAAAUAACCCUGAAAUACGAAGAAAAAAAAUCAUAAAUUAUUGCACGAUUAUAUAUGUUGUAGUGUAAUUUAACUGAUUAUAACAUAUCGAGAAAUAAUUUUACUUACGCAGUACUAAGAAUAGCUGGAUGAACAUUGUACUCCUUAGCAAACACAAAUGGGACAAUCCCUUGUGGCAAUGCAGCCUAAAAAUAUAAAAUAACAAUUUAAAAAAAAUUCAAUAUAUCAAAUUAUUAAAAAUAAAUAAAAAUUGAACCAGCAAUUUUAAUGCAACAUUUAAUGAAGUAGAUUAUAAAUUUGUCAUUUCAUGGCCACCAAAAACUAUAUAUUAAAAAAAAAUGGCUAUAUGAAUAAUUUAUUUACCUGUACAAUGGCUACAUGAAGAAGAGUACCACGAAGGCCAACAGCAAUUGAAGCAGCAGCCAUAACUGCUGGGCCAGUUAGAAACCUUACAGCCAUUGCAAAUGUAGCCACUGUGUUACCACAUGCAAUGAUUUUUGGUUGAAGAGCCAUAAACAAACCUACACAUAAAUUCAUCGUGACUCGUGAGUUUAACUUAACUCGUUACUUUCAACUUUAAUUAUAUAUAUAAAUGAAACAACCCAAGUUCAAGUCAUGUGUUUUUUCAAUUCACAGACUAAUUAAAAUUCUGAAUCCGCCUCUAUUGUAUUUAGAUAGCUAUUGAAACUUCUUUCAUAAAAUUUCAACUACUAGUAACCAAACCAAUGAUUAAGUCAAGUAAGGACCCCACGAAGACUAUGAUUUUGAUAAUAUAACUACCCUAUUAAUACUACCAUUGGAUUUUGAUGGUCAAAAUUGUAAAACUUAACGUACUAGAAAUGGUUAGUAUAUGAAAGAGAAAGCAAGGUACAAUAUAUAGUUGAAAAAUAUAAAUGUUUUAAAUGUUUGAUAAUGCUAGCUUCAAGAAUUCGUAUUACGUAACUAUAGUUCAAUUCGAUAAAAUUCUUGAUGAUAAGAAUAAUUUAUUCAGAACUCGAUAUGAUUUACUUACCCAAGCUAAACAUAGCCAUUCCAAGGCCAGCAUCAGAGAGAAUGGAGAUUGACUUCUCUAUAAUUUUGGGCAUAUGCACAUGCCAUCUAAAAAAACAAACAAACAAACAAAACAACUAAUUAAUUGAUGGACAAAUUUUAAACUUUUACCUACUAAAAAACUAAAAAUGUUUGAGAAAGUUAAGAAAGUAAUUAGUUUUUUAAAUCCAUAAUUAGCUUUACCUGAAUGAGAUUAGAGACCAGAUCAGACCAAUGAGGCUCGAAUACGUGUUUGGGUUACGAAUAAGCUUACGCCAAACCAUGAUUAAGAUCAAACGAGUCAUAACACUUGCUGGAGGCAUCUGUUUUCCCAUACCAGCAUCUUGUCCUCCAGCGAGUUUGGGGUGUAGCUCCGAUGUGGAGCUAGACCCCAGUUUAGUCAGUCCAGUGGGUCCCUCUUUUUCGCCUUUUUCUUCAUCGCCAUCUUUUCCACCACCAUUGGCACCUCCAAAAGUGAAAUCCUCACCACCAAAUUCCCCUGUUUGCGGAAUGGCUUCAAAUAUAAAAUUGUUUAAGCAUAUAUUAAAAUAAUAUUAAGACACACCCCGUCUAGCGGAUUUACUUCUUUUUAAAAAAAAUAUAUAUUUAAAUAGUUUAUAUUCCGAGUUAAUUAGUAAACAAAAUAAAGAAAAUUGUACCUUUACUAUCUCCAUUUUGAGUAUGAUCAGAAACCAACAUCCGAAUUUCUUUGGCUCCAUCGGAUCGACCCGAUUGUUCGUUGGCACUGAAAUCAUUGCCACCGAACACGUGGAGGCCACCGGCCUCCGACACCGGAGAAUUACUAGAGCUCCAUACAAACAUAUGAAGUUCCUUAGCAUCAUGAUUAUUAGCUUUAGCAUUUGGCUGUUGUUGCUGUUGCUGCUGUUGUUGUUGUACUUCCUGCUUCUGUGUUUGUACAUUUGGUUGCUGAGGUUUUGUGCUUUUAGGCACUGCGGAAGAAAUUUCGGGGUUCGGGGCAGGAUAAGAUCCCGGCGCAGGCUGCUGCGCGGGGAAAUACCCAAACCUCGGAGAGCUCUGAACUAGACCUCCCGGAGCACAGUUUUCUUCGAAAUUAGACGGUCUCGGAGUCGGACCCCGAGACGACUGUACAGAGUACAUAUCUGCAGGACCAAAAUUGGAUAAUCUUCCUCCAGGAAAACCCAUCAUAGAGUAAAAAUCGUUAUGAUUAAAAUUAGACCCUCGAGGAGUCGGAUUCCUCGAAGAACUAAGACUGUAAAUCUCAGCUCCGGUGAGAUUCGACGGCCGAUGGUCCAUAGCAAACGACCUCCGGGACGCAUUUGAUUUUCUCACAGUAACAUGAAGUUUACCAUCUUGACCAAUUUCAGCGUCUGUUUCGAGAAAAUCAUGUCCAUCUAGAGAUACAACAUCAGAUUCCACUUUAAACGAAACAAUUGAAGCAGCAGUUUCUGGAAAUUGCUCCAUUAUAAGCAUUUUCGCACCGCGAUAUUCGAACAAAAAGAGCAAAAGUGUGUACCAAAUAAUGCACUGCAACACCACUACUUGUACCAUGAGACUACCAGAGUACUCACCAUACAUAGCAAUUAACAAAGGAAUACCCAUCACCAAUGUAUUCGGCAGUGUUGAAAGAGAAAAAAUUGUAAUACUCCAUUCAAGGCUACCAUUUUUAGUUAAAUUAGCCCAUAGCGAAAGAACAACAAGCAUAAUUACUUUCUGCAGUGAAUCCGCCGCAAUGAAACGGAAAUUCAUUUCAUAUGGAUUAUUCAUAGCUAUGAAAUGAAAAGACAACAAAGGAACUGCAAAAAUGGCUACGAAUCUGUUGAUCCCAGAACAUUGAUCGGGAGAGAAGAUUUUCCACCAUCGAACAGAACCAUAAGCUAAUAUCAUAGCAACAUAGAGAGGAACAACUGCUGUUAACACAACAUACAGAUCGUGCCAAGUGAUCAUUUUCGCAAAAAAAAUUGUCAAAUCGAAGAAGAAAAAACCGUUAUUUAACUGCAGCACUGUGUAUAUUGCAGUUGAUUCUGCAGUACUGGUGCAGAAGAAUUCUGCAGCAAAUUGCAGAGAGAGAUUAAAAAGGACUGAUGAGAAAUUAAAGUGUGUGUUUUUUUCUUUUCUUUGGUGGAAGAGGAAAGAAGAAAAAGGAGUGAAAUUACAUGAAGGUGUAAAAUGUGGAAGAAUUAUAUAUAGAGAAGAGAGAUGAGGGUACCAAUGGGUCAUCCGAACCCUCUUCGAUAAAAAAAAAAUAGCUAACUUACGUAAAUUUCAUUAUUUUAGAAUCUAAUUACUUAAAUUUACGUUAAUUUGUAAUAUGAUAAUUCUUUAUCAUAUUUUGGGUCUAAAAUAUAUGUAUCUUGUACUAAUAAUUAGUGUGUCCAAUUAAUGGACAUAAUUGAAAGUCAUUAAUUAAGAAGUGUGUUUAAUUAAGAGAUAUGACUGAAAGUGUCAUUAAUUAAGAAAAAAUUCACAUUUGCACGAACUAUUAUUCAAAUACAUGCAUAUAUUUUGUCAGAUACAUAUACAUUUAAUCAAAUAUACUGAUAAAAAAACUAGAUAGAUAUAAUCUUAACUCAAUAGUGUGUCGGAUACAUCAAUAAUGUGUCAGAUACAUGCGUAAAUCUCCAAUAAGUGUGUAUGUUUAUUAAUAUACAGAUACACUUAAUGAGAUACACUGAUAAAAAAUGUAUACAUAUAAUCUUAACUCAAUAAUAUGUCAAAUACAUCAAUAAUGUGUUAGAUACAUCAAUAAUUCCAAUCCGAUCUAAAAAGUCUCUUUUCUUCUUCCUUGUUAAGGUUUAUCACGCAUAAACUCUCUUAUUUGCAACAAAUUACAUACUAUCUUUCUCUUUUGUUCGUCAAAUUUGUUGCAUUUUUGGAUUUCCAAAUUUAAGAGGCUAAAAAUAUCUGAUGUAUCUUUAAUAAUAUAUAGCAUAAAAUAUUAAAACUAGUAAUAUAUGUAAUUAUUUGAAAGUAGAGAUAAAUUUAGUAUAGGUCAUGUAUGUCUAAUAAGGUAGCUUAUCCUAAAAAAUUAUAUAACAUAUGUGGUAUUUUUAAAAAUUGUUUUUAUGUAUUUAUAUAAAUUUGAACUCGUGAAUAUAAGAUUAGAGAUUGAUUUAAUGAUUGAGAAAUUCAAAAUUUAGCUUGCAAUUCCAAGUUUAAAUCUUACACAGUUUAUUUUUAUUUCUCAAAUCCACUUAGUGAAUAUUCUGAAUCCGCUGAUAAAUGGAGUGAUUGAACUUGGAACUUUGGCAACUUAUAUUUUAAGAGAAAAAAAUGAGUUUUUUUGGGGACCAGUUGAAUUUUUUAAGAUGGGAUAUUGAUAAAGAAAGAAGUUAAGAAAAAAGGGGUUCAAUUUUCUUUUGCUGUCGGGUGGNNNNNNNNNNNNNNNNNNNNNNNNNNNNNNNNNNNNNNNNNNNNNNNNNNNNNNNNNNNNNNNNNNNNNNNNNNNNNNNNNNNNNNNNNNNNNNNNNNNNNNNNNNNNNNNNNNNNNNNNNNNNNNNNNNNNNNNNNNNNNNNNNNNNNNNNNNNNNNNNNNNNNNNNNNNNNNNNNNNNNNNNNNNNNNNNNNNNNNNNNNNNNNNNNNNNNNNNNNNNNNNNNNNNNNNNNNNNNNNNNNNNNNNNNNNNNNNNNNNNNNNNNNNNNNNNNNNNNNNNNNNNNNNNNNNNNNNNNNNNNNNNNNNNNNNNNNNNNNNNNNNNNNNNNNNNNNNNNNNNNNNNNNNNNNNNNNNNNNNNNNNNNNNNNNNNNNNNNNNNNNNNNNNNNNNNNNNNNNNNNNNNNNNNNNNNNNNNNNNNNNNNNNNNNNNNNNNNNNNNNNNNNNNNNNNNNNNNNNNNNNNNNNNNNNNNNNNNNNNNNNNNNNNNNNNNNNNNNNNNNNNNNNNNNNNNNNNNNNNNNNNNNNNNNNNNNNNNNNNNNNNNNNNNNNNNNNNNNNNNNNNNNNNNNNNNNNNNNNNNNNNNNNNNNNNNNNNNNNNNNNNNNNNNNNNNNNNNNNNNNNNNNNNNNNNNNNNNNNNNNNNNNNNNNNNNNNNNNNNNNNNNNNNNNNNNNNNNNNNNNNNNNNNNNNNNNNNNNNNNNNNNNNNNNNNNNNNNNNNNNNNNNNNNNNNNNNNNNNNNNNNNNNNNNNNNNNNNNNNNNNNNNNNNNNNNNNNNNNNNNNNNNNNNNNNNNNNNNNNNNNNNNNNNNNNNNNNNNNNNNNNNNNNNNNNNNNNNNNNNNNNNNGGGUGGGGGGGGUGUGAGUUGGUUACAAGGUGACCACAUAGUGUGGUUAGAUUAAAGGGACAAUAUGAGAUAUCGAAGUUUCGACUAAUCUAAAUUAACACAUAUUAUGUUAAACCCAUCAAAGAAGAAUCACUUCACAUAAUUUUCUUUUCGUAAUUAAAAUUUGAAUUCAAAAUAUUUUAUUAAAGAUGAAAGGAUCGUAUUCAUGUGAAGCGGACCAUUUGCAUGUAAUAUAGUAACGUGGCUAGUAUUUGAUGGGCCUGGGUUUUGUGAGGACGUGGACAACUUUUCUUCUCUAUAUUUUGUUUUCUUUUUACAUUUUCUUUUUGUGUUGUGUAAGAAAAUUUUAUUUGAAGUAUCAUUAUUAAGAUUAUAAAUAGUAAUUUAGACUUUUCAUUUAAAUUAACUACUUGUAAAAAAAGUAGAUAAUCGAACCUUAUACCAUAGACAAAUGAAUUUUAAACUUUCGGUCAGAACAUAAUUAUUAUAUUCCUCUGUAUAAGGAUGUAAUAAACUAGCUAUUUAUUUUAUUUUAUUUAUUUUUGUCAAAAAGUUUCCUAUGUUUUAAAGAUUAAAAAUUUCUGCCAAAGUGAAAAAAAGAUGCAGGUUCUCAAGCUGCAAUUUUUUAUUAAAUAAAGUUAGAUGAAAAUGACAUUGGUUCUUGUUCAUGAACAUGUUAUACUACUUUUUCUUUUUUGAAUUUGUAUCCAUAGUUUGAUAUUCACAUUGAUAACGGUUGAAUUUAAAAUGUAUGGAUGAAAAAUAAAGAGUUGUGACUUUUAUGAAGAGUUGUGACUUUAAUAAAAGGUUGUGAUUUUUAUGAAAAAUUAUGACUUUUAAGAAGAGUUGUGAUUUUAAUGAAAAAUUGCGACUUUUAUGAAAAGUUGUGACUUUAAUGAAAAGUUGCGACUUUUAUGAAGAGUUGUGACCUUUAUGAGAGGUUGUGACCUUUCCGAAGGAUUGUGACUUUUCCAAAGGAUUGUGAUCUUUCCAAUAAUGCACAAUAAACAUUUGUUCACACUACUCUUUGUUGGUCAUAAAUACAUGGAUUUCCUUUUAUUUUUCAACAAUAAAUUUUUGGACUUCUUCUUCUACUACUAAAUCUAGUAUUCUAAAUAUAUUUUAUUUCCGUUGAGUGUUUAGUUGACACUGGAUUUUUUAGGUACCGAUACACCGGUGAGUAAGAUUGUUCUAUCCUAGGAGGAUAUAUUCCAUUAACCUCGGAUACUUGAGGGGAAUAAUUUUCUUAAGGACACAAUGUGCAUUUAGUGGGCUCGAUUUUCUUCUUUGAGAAAAAUAUUUUGUAUAUUAUUUCUAAUUUGUUUCGGAUUCUAUUUUCUUUAUUGGUUUUAAGUUUCUAGUUUUGAAAAUAUUCUUUAAACUUUGUUGUUUCUUACCAAGUUCUUCAAAGUUCUUGUUUUAAGUAUCUUAAGAAUAUAGGUUGAACAACAACUAAAUCUAUGUCCCUAUUUACAUCCAUUUUUAGAGGAUGAUACUCUCGAUAUAACUUUUUUCAUUUUCAGAAACUUGAUUAAUCUGAAACCUCUAAUUAAAAGUGAAGAGAUUUCGAGAACCAUUCCACUCCAACACACUAUGUACGUAACAUGUUACUACUUAUUCACUAAUUAGAAUCUAUAUCUAUAUUGAUACUAAAACAUAUUUUAACGACAGAAUCAUGAGUUUCAUUAUUCGACUCUAAACUAAAUUAAAAACACUCAGCUAUAGGAUGGUACAAUCAUUCACUCCAGAUGGGUAAGUUCCAUACCGACAAGACCUUCUAUUCCAGAAUUCGUUCAUUUCACACCAACUAAAGUGAAACUUAAUCACCAAAAUAGAGUUGUAUAAAAUCUUAAUAUAGCCGAACGAAGUGAAAAACCUGUAAUAUAGAAGCAAAACACUUUGUUUGUAAGAAGAAAAAGUAUUAAUUAAUUUAAUUUCUUCACUUUCAUAAAAUGUACGUAACUUAAUCAUAUUUACCCUCCUUAAUUAAAACUAUUAAUCCCAUUGUGUGUUGAACUCUUUAAUUUAACAAAACCUUUAUUUAGAAAAAGAAAACAAUAGCCAAUAAUACUCAAAUGUUUAGUCAAAAUCUAGAAUUGAAAAGGUGUAUUUAAAUUAAUUUCUUCUUUAUAUACUUUUGGGAUUAAUUAUAACAUUUCACGUGCUAUAGUUUUAGGUGAAUCUUGGUCUGUGUCCGUGACCUUUCUUAGGUCCAAUAAUAUCUUAUAAUUUCCCUAAAAUUAUAAAAUCUUAUAUACUGUAUUUCAACUAAGACAGAUUUUGUAAUUUGGUUUGACCAAAAUUUAAAAAAGAUUUUUCAUUUAAAGCCCAAUAUUUUCUCAAAGAUAAAGAGCUAAAAUCAAUAAUAUUGUCCAUAUAUAUAUAUAUAUUCCUAUCUCUUUAGUAAUCAAAUAAGAACAUAACUUGCCUAAUAUGCAACUGUUUAUAAACAGUAUCUUGAUAUAAUAUUCCAAUAUCCUCGGGUUUAUGUUGUUUUCUCAUAAAAUUGACAUAAUUGUAUGUACACAUUAAUAUUAUUAUGCCCCAAAAGCAUAUAAUAUAUUAUACAUUCAAUGGUUAGGUACAAAAAAAUCUAUAGUAUAUGUUGAAUAGACGAGAAUAUUAGACGUGACAAAUGAGUCAGACCGUAUUAAACCAAUUACGCCUAAUACUCAGGAACAAGAUCGGUAAGCAUAAAGAUAAAUAGAGUGAGUCACACACCUCAGAGAAAAAUAUAUUGGGAUAAAUAGCUAAUUUCGAAAUCAUAAGAUAAUAGAGUAAGUUUUACUAUUUCAUAUCCAUACAUUAUAACACAUAAUAACCAUCAUUGUAUAUUUGCAUUGUAAUUAAUAAUAUACAUAUAUAAUACUAUGGUACAAUAUUGUUUGCUAGAAUUUAGUUAAUGUUAUCAUUAUAUGUUUGUCUCUUAAGGAGAGUAAAGAAUGAUUUGACAUAUGAAAUAGGACAGGCUAUACAUUAUAUACAAUUCAAGCAUCAAUUUUUUGGUGAAAAUUGUAACAAAGAUCAAAUCAACAAGUAUAUAUAUUAUGCUAGUUUCUUUUACAAAUAAAUCAUUUGCAUAUUAACAAACAAUUGAAAGAAAGUUAUUCUUUUUCUUUUGUUUUGUUUUUUUAUUUUUUGGGUGGGAAAACUAACAUAUGUCACACUCAUGUCUCAUGUACCUAAAAGAUCAAUCAACUUUUAUGCCUACAUGAUUAUUCAUUCAAAAAAAUAAAAUAAAAUAGGUAACAAUCUUUUCUUGAAUUCAAUUUCAGUACUCACCACUAUAUAGGCAACUCUUCUUAAAGUCCCAAUUAAAAUAAAGUUUGUUUUGGACAAUGAUUUGACCAUAAGAGGACCACCCUUUCCACAAACACCCAAUCACCAAACUUCUAAGUUCUAAUUAAACUACAAGUUAAAAAGAGAAAAACAAAAGGUUCUUCUACCUAAAGGAGGGAUUGGUUAGUUAGAAUCAUCAAGAAUCAUAUAUAAUAUAGUUUAGAUCAAUUUAAUAAUAUUUUAAAGAUCUAAAUCUCACGGGUCAAAAUCUGAUUAAUAGCUAUGAACAUAUAUGUUUAUUUGCCCGACUUUAUGUGACACAGUUAUAGUUUGAAGAGUCAGAUGAAGUUUGCUUUUGACGGCGAUUUCAUCACAUAUAUAUCUUUUAAAUAUUUUGAAUUGAUAAUUAUUAUGAUAUAUCGUAAUUUUUAUAUAAUUUCUAAAUAUGUAAAAUUUUAUUUUAAAAAGUAAUCUUGAAAAUUCACAUUGAAAUUAGAUGGUUUAACCCUCGUAUUCUAAAUCAUGUCAGAUGAAGUGGGACCAUAGAAAUAGCCAGUUUUAAAUGUUUGGAACGUUUGUUUUGUAUAUGAUUAAACUUAUAAGUUUUCUUUUAAUGGAUAGAUUUAUUACAUUUAAAGGAGUAAGGUUGUGUAGUAUCAAAUUACAAAGAUAAAACUUAAAUACGUAUGAAUCCUAGGAUUUGGCAUAUGGUCUUGGUAGUUUAUGAAUUCUGUACUUUAUGUUUCUUUUAUAUUCUCCGAUAUUCUAAGGGCAGACAUUUUAGGAACUAUAUAUAAUAGAAACUACAUAUGGAUGUGAUAAGAAAAUGAACAUAAAGCGUAACUCAACUUCGAAAGUUAAUUAAUCAGGAACUGAGGACUAUUGAACAACAAAUAUUGAGACUGUGUCUCCAUUAAAAACCGAUGUGGGAAAUUUUGAUACGCUAGCUCCCAGAGCCUGCUUAUUAGAGCGUGGAUAACAUAGCACAUUAUGAGAGGGCUCAAACUUGGAUAAAUUAAGAACUGAGACGAGGCGAAUUCUGAUACUAUGAUAAUAUUUUACCACUUAACACUAAUUAAAAUGGGAGUAAGUAAGGAUAGACAUCAAUAGACAAGUAAUAAAAGAAGUACAUACCAAAUUAAACAAGAAUAUUCUCAUCCAUAUAUGAAAUGCCAAAUUAAUAUAAAUCUUUCUUGAUAAAGCCCCCUAUCCCACCCCUACCCAACCCACCCCCACCCCCUUCUUCUUUUUUCCUAUCUUGUCACAAUGCAAAGUAACUAAUAAACUUCCAAGCUAGCUACUUGUACAUGUCUAUCUUUGCAAUAUGUAAUGUCUUUGAAGAUCCUAUCUUUUUUUGGUUCCACAAUUAAGAAGAGAUAAAGAGGAAAGACAAUGAGAUGCAAAGGGAUGAGGGUAUAGUACAUAAAGGAAAAAAAUGUGACAAAGGUAUGGUCCAAGUGAAGUGGUUUUAAGUCACUCUCUUGAAUGUGCAAGUCAAAAGAGGUGGGCUUCUUUGGCCCAUUGGACUUGGCCCACCACCCACAUUCUCAUGCUAUUUCUUUCACUCACCAUCUACUAGAACUACCCUUAGUCCCCACUAGAAUAAGUCUCUCUAUAUGAUGCACACUUAUAGGUACUUAAUGGUAUUAUAUUCUAUGUCGGGUCAUUUGGUUUUGUAGUUCUUUAUAAAUUAAUACAAAAUUACAAGCAUUCUUUACUUUUACGCAUUAGAGAUCUGAUAGGGUCCCAUCUCUAUGAACUAUAAUUAAUAGGCGGUAUCCAUAAAUCUUUUUCUUCUAUUAUAUCCUACGUUUUGCUAAAUGUGCAUGAAUAUGUAGAGAUCGUAGGUUUUAAGAAACAGUUUUCGUAAUUUAGGUUUAAAUGAUAACUAUGCAUGUCAAAAAAUUGUGGAAAAUGUAAAAUGCAUCGUCACUUUUUCAUAGUUUACUAAAAAAAAUAGGAGUAUUGUUUUUACCCUUUAAUUACUAUAUUAUUAUAUGCAUACAUCUAUGACUGAUUUAUCAGAUUUAUUAAAUUAAAAACAUGGCAUAGAAAGUGAUUAUUAGCCUUUCCAUUGGAAUUGGAUUGGGCCUUUGCAAGAUUUAGAAUAGGGAAAAUUACGCGGUUAAACAAACUUAUACUACUUAAUUACUCAUUAUAGCUAUAGUUUGCUAUAAUUACCACUCACGACUAACAUUAUACAUUAAUAACGCGGGCUGACUUCGAGUUUGUAUAAUUAGCCACGUUUGUAUAUGUAUGAUUCACCAGAAUAUACAAAUACAUACAAUUCACCUCUCUCCUCCCUCUCCCAAUCUCGCUCGCCUCUCUCCUCCCUCUCCCAAUCUCGCUCGCCUCUCUCCUCCCUCUCCCAAUCUCGCUCGCCUCUCUCCUCCCUCUCCCAAUCUCGCUCGCCUCUCUCCUCCCUCUCCCAAUCUCGCUCGCCUCUCUCCUCCCUCUCCCAAUCUCGCUCGCCUCUCUCCUCCCUCUCCCAAUCUCGCUCGCCUCUCUCCUCCCUCUCCCAAUCUCGCUUGCCAUAUAUACAAAUACAUAUGUAUAAUAUACAAUUAUCUAACCAUAUACAUAUACAAUUCACCUUUCUCCCACUUUUUGCCCCCUCUCUCUCGCCUCUCUCCUCUCUCUCCCAGUCUCGCUCGCCUCUCUCCUCCAUAUAACAUGUAGCUACGAAUUGUAAUUAUCAAACUAUAGCUAUGGAGAGUAAUUAGGCUAUUUUUUAGUGGCUAUAUGUGAAAGUUCCCCUAUAUACUAGAUCAGCAUGCUAAAAUGAAAAGCCCAUUUCUCGGAAAAUAUUCAUAAAAUAGCCAUUUGCUAAUGUCGGUAUUUGAAAAAUAGUCACUCUCAUGCAGUUUCACUUAAAAAUUAAUAUAAUUGAAGUUCUAGCACAAUUUAUAUAUUUUUUAAUUACAGGACUAAAAAGUGUCUAGUACACGCUAUUGCUACCUCUACGUGAACUUUAUAUGGUCAUUUUUUUCAAAAAUAUUCUGAAAAUAAAAUAUCAAACAGUGUUUGAAAUUUUAUAAAUCAGUUGCUAAUAAAUAAAUAAAUUAAUUAGUUUCAUUUCUUCAAGAAUUCUAACUUUUUUUCUUUCCUUUUUGCUCUAUUCCUUCUUUUCCCAACUUCCCCCUCUCAUGAAAUUAAUCAUUCUCAAAAUACAUGGGUUUUUUUCUUUUGGCUAGUACCAUGUUUUGGGAGAUGAAUAUGAUAGAGGAGAUUAAGUUGAGAAAAGAAGGAAAAAGAGCAAAAAGGAAAGGAAAAGAUAGAAUCUUGAUCAAUAUUGCCAUAACAAAAAGGAACUUCUUUAAGUUCAAAUUUAUGUGUGUUUCUACUUUCUUGUGGUGAUUUGAAUAAAAGAGUGGAGUAACUUUGUAGUGAUUUAAUUUUGCAUGAUAUAUAUGUAAUCACCAAGGUAUUCAUCUCUAUUUGUACAUAUACAUAUAAUAGCUUGAAAUAUACAUAAACGUUCUUGUUAUAAGGAAGCACCCUUGGUAUUGCCCCUUUAUUUUUGUCAAUUAUUACAGAGUCAUCAAAGUUGCAUGCAAUUUUAUAUAAGAGAGCUGAAUUUGAAUAAAUUCGGAAUAUAAUACUAUCAAAAAUAUAUAUAUAUAUAUAUAUAUAGGGUUUAUUGAAAACAAUAUCUCUAUCUUCAUAAGGUAGGAGUAAGGUUGCAUUAUACACACCACCCUCCACCCUCCACAGACCUAUAUGUAAAAUUACAGUGAUUUUAUUAUUUCUGAAAUAAAUCAUUCUAUUAAGAAUAAAAUGUGCUACAUAAAACAGGGAUAGGGAAGUAGUAAAUAAAGCAAAACCUUCUCAUACUAAUUGAUUGAUAUUCGUGGAGUAUAGGAGCUAUUCGUACUUGAAUUGGGGAAACUUACAUAAAUCCUACUAGUUUAGGAGCUAAUUACUCAGAUACAGUUUAGUCUGCAUUGUUACGUAUCUUAUCAGAUUUUGGUGCCUUCAGAUAUGUCCAGGUACAUGUAUCUCGAAUACAUGAGAUCAAAUUUUGGUGUAAUUUGUUCUAGAUAUAUUGUAUCCAAGUGGAUUCACAUGUAUAUGAGAUACAUAGCAAAUCUCGCUCGCCUUCCUCGCCUCUCUCCCAUCACGAUCGCCACUCUCUCAUGUAUCUGGUAUUCCAGAUACAUGUGAAUCACUCUAGAUACAUACAAAUACAUGUAUCUAGUGUUAUUCGCAUGUAUCUGGGUCUCGCUCACUGCUCUCCCUAUUUUUGUGUAUUUGGUAGUAAAAAUACAUGUAUUUAAGUGUAAGAUACGUUGAAAACUCUUAAUUAAUAAUAAAAUACGUAAUAUUUUUAAAGUAUAGAUAAUAAUAGUAUAUAUAAGUCCACUACAUGUACGAUUGGGCUUGGCCCAAUUUGAGGAACUUUCGGCGCACAAAAACCUUCCUAAACCCAACAGUAGGCUCCAUUAUACUUGCAACUAUAUAACACAUAAAGACUAAAAUAUGGAUGGUUUGUAUUAGUGUAUUGUCUCUAUAAUGAUUCUCCUCUAUAAUAGUAUUUAACUAUAACAAUUACGUUUUCCUUAAUUGAUUUCAUGUUACGUUAUAUUGUAUGUUUUCUGUAAUAGUAUUUCGGUCUAACAACUAAGAUAUCCAAACAAACAACGAUGUUGCAGAGAGGUUUGACUGUAGCCUGAACUUCCUUUUUCCUUAUGUAUUACGUGCCUCAACUAAAUUAGGAGAAAUCGCAGUAUCGGUAUGAAAAAGUUGUCAUACAUAUAAUUAAGUAUGAGAAAACAACAAAAUUUGAUCGAAGCUAUCAUUAGUCUCUUAAUUAAUUAUAUUAACUCAAGUCAAAUCCCUUGGAUUUGCUAGUACUUUACAAAAUUUAGUUAAACAUAUUCAAUUCAAUGUAUAAAGCUAACUUUGCCACUAUAUAUAUGAACAUGGUUAAUUAUUAAUGUCCGACCUGUUAUUAUUACUAUAUAUUUGUCUUGUUUAGAAAAUUCAUCAAAUCAUCAUUAGUCAUUAAUACAACAUAAUUAUGAAAUGGGCUUACCAAUUGCUGCGGAAGUGUGUCCCCUGUCGGACUGGAAAUAUUGGUAUGCUACUUUACUAGAUAAGUUAGGGUUAUUGGUGCCAUUUUGUAGGGCCACCCUUGUCUCCGAUGAGAGGGGCAGAAUGAUCAUCUGAAUUCAGUAACUUUAACUUAAAAAUCAGAUGCGGAUUUAUUGAAGAAUUGUUUGAACUUAACAGUUUUAACCUAGAUUAUGUAUAUGUGUGACUAAAUAAGUGCAAAUAAUUAAUUUUUGAAGAUGUGGUCGUGGAAUUUUCAACUCGAACUCAUUAUGUUCGAAUCCUGAAUCCAUAUUCUCUAAUCCACAAUCAUAGUGGAUAAAGGUUUGAAUACAAAAUAAAAACAAAAACUUGAUCCUUGUUAUAUUUCUCAAUCACUUUGUGGCAUCGAAUGUGGCUGAACCAUCUUUGAUGGGGAACUAAAGCAUAGAAAUGAAGCUUAGAUAAAAGAAUACGCCCUUCUACUUGAUUAACUAUACUUAGAUACACCCCAAAUCUGCCACAUGACAUAGCAAGUGUUUCAAACUAGGAGCAUGAGACUUUUAAUAAAAUAUCUAAAGAAGUGUUAAAAAUACCGCUAAAUUUGGCGUGAAUUUAGGAGUGUAUUUCACUCGUGUUACGAAAUCGGGAGUGUAUUUAGGUUUAGUUAGUCAAGUAAAUGAGUGUUUUUAAAGUUGUCAAUAGCCGAAUUAAAGGAUAUUUUCAGUACUUCUCUCUUUUUUAUAAUACAAAGUUCAACCAAUGAAGAAUCGAUAUAAGAUAAAAGGCAACACUAGCUAUAGCUAACCAAACGAACAUAUAAGAAAUCCCAAAAGUUGAAUUUAAUUAAAAUCACUAAACUAUUGUUUUAGAAUCGUACGAUAUAAACAUAUGAAAGAAAAAAAAAACUUAAAAACAUAUACAUAUUAAUAACUACAUGUCAAAUUGUUUCCACUUCGAACUUAAUACUAAUCUUAAAUUCUGGAUUCGUCUCUGACAUUAGUUUUGGUGACGCGUUCACAAUGAGGGCACAUGGUGAGGGUAGAUGCCGGUAGGGGAUGGCAACUAUGGGGUGAUAACACCGUUGGCGGACCUACUUUCAUGGCUCGUAACUCUUCAACUUCUUUCUUUAAUCUUCGAUUUUGUUCAUUCAGUGAACCAAACCAUCUCUUUAAGUACUCACAUUCCAUCUCUGUUUGCUUUAGCUUGCUUCUGUUUAACACAAAUAUAACUAAAUUAAGCUCGACUAAUUCAAAUUCGCAUUUUUUUCAAGAAAGAAUUAACUAAUGCAUUGAUGAUUGGACCUUUCUUCCAACAUUAAAUAAAUGCACGUGCAUUAUGGCUAACACCUGGAAAAGUUGAUCUAAUUAAAUGCUCAAAUUGACCGAUCGAUUAUUAUUCUUUCUUCUUUAAAAGGGAAAAUACUAUUCGUGGAGUUGUGUGGAGUUGUUUGGUGUGAGGUAUAAUAAUUGUAAACAUAAAAUGUAGGAUUAUUUAUCUCGUGUUUGAUUGGAGGUAUUAGGUAGUCAUGAGAUUAAUUAUUUCAUAUUUUAAUGAUGAGAGAAGUUAAUCACAUAUACUGAUAUACAUAAUGGAAUAACUUAUCUCGAGAUAUAUCAUUUGUUCCCAACCAAACGACCUAUGUAAUUAUAGGUAGAAAAUAUAAGGUACUCUAAUACUACACUUUUUUUCGAUUUUAUUUUACUUGUCCCCUCUAUUAAAAAUGAAUAUUUUAUUUUACUUGUUCAUUUUAACAAAUCAAAAGGGUUUUACAUAUAUUAUCCUUAGUGUUAAAUGAUACAUAAAAUAAUACUAGUCAAAUUUAUAAUAAUAAAAUUAAUUUAGUAAAAUAGGGAGUAUUAUGGCUUAGCUACUGAGUAUUUGUCAAUAUUAAAGUAAGAAAGUUGAUAUGACUUUAGUGUAACAAUUCUAUUUGCCUCUUCUUUGGUGGAGCCUUUUUAGUGUGUAACCAUUUUGAAAGAGUCAAAUUUCCUAAUUUUCUGGAGUUUGUUCCCACUACCUCCAAAAUGAAUUAAUUUUUUCAUUCUUCAUCAGGAGACUUAGGGAAUGUGUGUGAAAUUUUUCGACGUGAAUUAAGAUUUAGUUAUACCCCAUUAUAAGUAUUGGACAACGAAUGAGAAACAACAAUAACAUACUAAGUGAAAUGUUAUAAGUGGUGUUUGAUGAGGGUAGAGUGUACGCAGUCCUUAUCACUAUCUCGUGAAAGCAAAGUUGUUUCUAAGAAAAUACUCGAUUCAAGUGUACUCAAACCCAAGUAAAAGCCGAAGAACGAAAACUUUAUAGGAAACACAUGGCUUUUGGGGUGUGGGGCUUAAUUUAAUUUUGGUUCUUAAAUGUUUAUUCAGAUAUUUGCAUUAUAGAGAAUGAAAUAUCACUUUCUAUUCCCAGAUCAACAAGAAGAACAAUGCAAUAGAAUCUGAUCCUUGUUUUUAAUACUGGACACUUCUUAUUAUUGUUCUCUCUCUCACGAGUAAUUUACUUUAUAAUAAUUCACUAGUAAUUUACUUUAUAAUAUAUGUAAUUUUUUAGUUUUAGUUAUAAAUAUAAAGAAAAAUAAAUUAGUGUAAUUACUUCCUCACCAUUAAUUAUCUCUUCUCAACUACCAACACAUUAGUUAGCAAUAUUACUACCUAGCUACUCCACUUAUUUAAUUGGUUGUUUAAGGUUUUGAGGCAUUUACUAUUAAUAACUAAUGUCUUAUUGGAAGACUAGUAACGUAAUAAAACGUUCAGUUCAUUUUUACUUGUUUACUAUUUUAAAAAUAAAAUUUUAUUUUUACUUGUUCAUACAUCAAAGUAAAGUCAAUUUUGUUUCCAUGUGUUACCUUUGAUUUUAGUUAUUUAUUCCCCAAAUCAUUUUUCAGGAUCUAAAUAAAUAGUUAUGUCAAUUAUUAUUUCUUUAAUAGAUGUGUGAGGUCCAAAUUAUUAUGUGACAAAUAAACGUGAACGGAGUGAUUAACAUUUUGACUUUAACAAGAGAGAGUAGUAAUAGUAGUACUAAUAAAUAGCCAUAAAAAGUGUAUAGAUAUAUAUAAAUGUAAAAGUACCUUGCUCUACGGUUUUGAAACCAAACCUCCACUUGCCUUGCCUUUAACUUUAAUUGCAUGGCUAAAGCUUCCUUUUGUUUCUGCAUUUAUUUUCCAUUACAUUAGAUUAAAGAAUGGUCAAAUGUAAGAAAGAAAAAAAAAACCGUUUGACUGAACAUAAAGUUUUAAAAUAUGAUGCAGUUUGACUGAACAUAAAAUCUAAAAAGAAGUUAUCAUUCUUUCGUAACAGACUAAAAAGAAAGUGUUAAUACUUACCGGGUUCAAAGUAUGAUUUUGUCUAAAGCUUUCUUCAAGAAGAAAAGAUUGCUGUUUUGUUAAACGUAGUUUUUUCCUUGAAGCCCCAUUAAUAUUAUCAUUAAUAUUAUUAUUAGAGCUCUCUUCUUCUUCUUCCUCCAUGCUAAUUUCUUCAUCAUUAAUAUUUCCACUUGAAGGUACUUGAUUUAUAUCAAGCUCUAGAUCUCUCAUCAUAUUAUAACGUCCACCACCCCCUUCACCUUCAUCAAUUAAAACAAAAAAAAAAAAUCAACACAAGAUAAUUACAAAUAGGAAAAGAUCAACAUAAUUAAAAGUAACUCAUCACACAUGUAUAUAAAUAAAUAAAGAAACUUCACUAAUUAAACAAAGGGAAUAUAUACAUAUACCAAGGCAAAUAAGCUAUGAUCGACAAAGGGUGGUCCGUCUAACACUCUUUGUCAGAAAAUCAGAAACAAAUUCAGAACUUGAAAUUUUAAACACUCAUACUGAAAAUUAUGAUUUCGUCACUCGUGAAAAUAAAAAAUGUCAUCUAUAGCAUAAAACGGCCCAAAUUAAAAAUAUCAAACUAUUUAUACAAUUUAGCUUUUGAAAAAAUAAAAAAAUUCUCUAGUGAUAAAUAAUUAAUUAAACUUACCAGAAGAAGGAAAAGAUGAAGAAUUAGAAGAAGAUCCAGGAAUAGACAUGGUUAGCUCCAAACAAGCUGAACUUUCUGGCAUAAUCUCCAUUUUAUUAAAUUAAUAUAAGCUAAAAAAUUCUUAAUAUUUUGCAAGAAUUAAGAAGAAGGCUAAGAGUUUUUUUUUCUUUUUCAGAGAAGAGAAUAAAGUAUAAAAGGGACAAAUGAAAGAAGGGGGCAGGAAAGAAAAUAAUGAAAGGGAAGAACCAAUUAAGGGUCAAAUAAAUAGAAGGAAGAAAAAUAAUUACUGUUAUAAAUUUCUUAUAUUAUUAAUUGUCAUAUUGACUAAUGACCAUGGUUGUCAAGUCAAAUAGUCAUACAUAUCUUAAUAAUAAAUCACACGUUAUCUUAUUAAGAUUAGUAAAGUAAGAUCGAGUCAAUUUUUUAUUGUCAGAUAAUUUUUUUGAUGGUAUAAUUUAGAAAAAAAUAAUAUUAUAAAGUGAGAUUGAGCCUUUUUGGUAUUGUUAAAUACUUUAUCUAGUGGUAUAAAUUCGGAAAAAAUAUACAAUAUUGUGGCGACAAAUAAUUUUGAGAGUGAAAGUUGUGUUUUUUUUUCCUUCCUCAUGUUUGGCCAAAAAGGAGGUUUGUCGGUUCAUAAGUCAGCUACUUAUAUGAUUGGAAUUUGGAAUUUGGAAUUUGGAAAAAUAAGAAAAUGCCCUUUUUUAUAUAUUUUAUCUUUAAAAUGAAUAGAAUUUUGAUCUUGAAUUUUUUAUGAGAAAUUUUGAAUUUUGAUCUCUGCAAUGGAAGAAAUUCUUGGUAGGAACACUUUUUUCUUAAUGAAUUUUAUGUGGCGAAACUAAACUAAAUUAAAUGAGUUAGAAGAUGAUAGAUUAUAUCAUAUGAUUAUACCAAAAAUGUUGUGUGAUUUUUAUUAUUUUAUAUAUAAAGUUCUUAAACACCCUUCAAAGGAGAUAUCUAAUAACCUUAAUCAUAGGUGACUCAAGUUGAUCACUUUAAUAAUGUGCAAAUUGACUAAAUUUGGCUACAAUUUUUUAACUUUAAGAAAAUACCAAGAGUGGGUUUGUAUAUAUAGGAUUAUAGGUGUUGACUACUUUACUUAAAUAGACAAUUUUAAUAAAUUCAAAAUAUUAUUUUAAAAAAAUUAUGGGACAUGCACUCUUUUAAUAAACUUGACAAGUCAAAGUCCUCUUAAUACACAUUAAUUAUGUCAAAUUAAGGAGCUAUAAUUUCUUAUAAUUAAAAUGUCCUCUAAUUUGUUCAAAAAGAAUCUUUAGAAGUGACAUUAUAAGUACGUAAUUUAUUUAUUUUUUAAUUUUAUUUAUUUUGUCUGGUCUAUGAAUAGUAAAGCUGUUUUUAUAUAAUGUGGCAUUUAAUUCAUUUGCAGGUGUGGAAAAUUAGUUUAACGUUUCAUUUGCAUUUAUGGCAAUAAGAAAAAAGACACCAAAAUGUACUACAAAUUAAACACCUUCAUUUAAUUAGGGAACUUUGUCUCUUUGUCUUCUUUUUAAAAAAUAAUAAUAAUAAUUAAGGAAAUAUAAAAUAAUCUCUUUUAUUUCCCUUAUUAUUUGGUGGAAAUCAAUCACUUUUUUGUGCACGAAAACAUUAUAUAAAAGCAAAAGUCAUAUAAUUAGGUCACUUUUUACUCCAACAAUUGGUACUACAUGUAUAUAAUUCCUGUCGGAAAAAAAUUUGUUUAAUCACUGAAAUUUCCUAUUUAAUAAUAAUUAAAAAAAUUCUGUUAAAAUAAUAUUUAACUUAAAUUUUUUCUGAACUUGUGAUUCUAUAAAAGACUUUCUUCUAAUUCUUCUUUCUUUUACUUUUUACUUUAUGAAUCGAUAAUCAGAUUCAAGAUUUUUAGUUUACUAGUUCUGAAUCAAUAUUCAUAUUUACUUACUGAGUUAUGAAUAUACAGUUUAAUUUAUUAAUUAUAAAUAUAAAAUUUUAAUCUAAAUUAGUAUUAAAUUUUUUCAAACUCGAAACUGUAACGGUGGUUUUACCUUAUUUCGUAACUUGUUGGAGACUUAGCUUGACUUCAGCUUUCGUGACCAAAAAAUCAAAACAGUUUGUAUUUAUCAAUUUUGGACUCAAUUAGUAAAAAAAUGGAAGUACUACUAGAGUAGUAUGAUUAUCAAAAUAAUAGUUAUUUACAUUAGUUAAUUGCUUAAAUUAAAAAUAAUCAGUGAAAUGUUGUGAUUAAUUACAAAAUUGUAACUAACUAUUCUUCCAUUUUAUACCAUUAUAAAUUAUAGGUACGUUUGUACUCACACAAUUUAUACGUUAUAACUUCUCAAAUUAAAAGUUAUAAAGGACAUGAGAAAUGUAGCAAGUCCUUGUUGAAAAAAAUGAAAGACUAUAUAAAUAUCAAUUUUGACCAUAUAAUUUUAUUGUUGAUAUGUUUUAUCACAAUUGUCAAGAAUUUUCUCAAUUAGUAUUCCAAUUGCAUACUGAGUCAUCAUCCUCUUUCUAGACUUUUUUUUUUGUGGUUUCAAUAUUUGAAUUUUUGUAUUUAUACUAUAUAUAUAUAUAUAUAUAUUAAAGAAAAUUUUAAUUUGAUAAUAAUUCUUGCUUAUAUGUGCACUAUAAGUAUUAGAUAAAAUUUUAUUAUAUUUAAAUUUGUGGAAUAUAUUAAUAUUAAUAGUGAAUUCCAGGUUCCGUGGUCGCAGUUUGAUAGAAAAAUAAAUAAGUCUCUUUCACACGUGAAAAAAAUAAUAUAAUAAUUAGAGUCAAAUUUUCGAAUUAAUUAUAUAUUUACAUAUUUUUAAUUAUAAGUAUGAAAAAAAUUGAUAUAAAAAUAAAAAAAAUGGAACCCAAGCACACGGGUGGACAGAUAAAAACUAAUCUCUAUGAAAAAGUAGAGUUGAAACCCAACCCAAAAGACAAUUUUGGGCCAUGGGUUUGAUGAUUAGGUUGGAAAUAUGGUCUAUUGUGGGACCUGUCUUGAUCAUUGGGUAGGGGACAUUUGGCCCCAACAUGUCUGCUUCUUUUAUAUCUCAGAUACAGAAUCACACUAGAUACACACUAGACAAAUAUAUAUGUAUGUAUCUGGUGUUGACACCCAAUUUUGACCCUCCCCGAUAAUAAUUAAUUUCGAGCUUCUUAAUUUUCAAACGUUUUAAAGUAAUUAAUUUUAGAAAUUUCGAAAAAAUAAAUAAAAUAUAAUAGAAUAAUUUGCAAGUUGUUUCUAAAUAGUUUGUCACUUGUUAUAAUUUUUAAAUAAUAAUAUGUCUUUUAUAUAAUUAUAUAUAUAUAAUUAUGUAUAUAAUUAUAUAUAUAUAAUUAUGUAUAUAAUUAGUGUAUUUUAUAAAUAUUGGAAAAUCGUCUCAAAAAGAUUUUGUUAAUUAGAUAUUUGGUUAGUUUGUUUAGUCAUCUAAUAAUUUACAAUUUUGAGUUAAGUAGUUAGUUUAUAAUUAAGUUAAUUAUUAUAUAAUUAUGUGUCUAAUUAGUAUAUUUUACGAAUGUUCAAAAAUUGUCUCGGAAGGAUUUUAGCUUUAUUUAAAUAUUUGGUUAUUUAGUCAUGUAUAUUGUUAAAGUAAUUAGUUUAUAAUUAAGUUAAUUAUUUUACUUCGUUAAGAUUAAGAAGCUCGUUAAUUAAUUAAUAUUAAUUCAUUUAGAUUCUAGCCGAAUUAAUCUCUAAAGCUAUUCCCUAAAUUUAAUCUAACUCACCUCACCAUAAACCCAUUUAAGAACCAUUUUAUGCCAUUUUCUUAAUACCAAAAAUCGGCCCAAUUCCCUUUAUAAUUCCCAGCCCAUUUUCUAGCCCCAUUCCAAUAAUUCCAUACAUUACUUACAUUAAUAAUACAACCUACAAUUAUAAUAAUACAACACAACAAUACUAAAAUAAUAACAACAUACACCAAACCGACCCCCUAUUUGCACUGUUCUUCUUCUUCACAGAAACGGGCAGCAACCCAAAAACGAAGAGAAGAACAGUGCAAAUAGGCCCACCGCGACCCAACAGCCCAUCAAAUCGAUCCAGUAACUUCGCGCGUGUCCGUCCUUCUCACGUCCCUCUCCGUCGUACAACCCGAGCAGAGAAGAGCAAGCACGCGUUUCUGGCCUUUCCUCUUACGGAAUGGGUUGAAAUCUCAGAGGAAAAGUGUGUCGUUCCGAUUUGGUGAAAGAAUUUUUGGAUUUUGAAUUUUGAAUGGUAAAAAUUUCACCCGAAUUCCCCCCCAAAAAUCUACCCUAAACUUCCCCUAUAUAAUUAUAUCUUUGUUCAUUUGUAGAGGGGGGGAAUUUUUAUUUUUACUUUAUUUUGAAAGAGAGAUUUCUGGGUUCGAAAAAUUUGGUAAAGACAAUCGUUGGAAAAGAGAGAGGGAUUUUUGUUGGAAAAUUUUGGACUAAGACAUAGAGUUAGAAAAAAGAUCCUUUGGAGAAAAGGUUGGAAGGAAAGAGAGUCGAAAUCACAUAGACUAGGGGGUCGUUUUCGCUCGCUUUUGUUCUGUUCUUCAGAGUCUUUGGAAUCGUGUCUCGGUAGCGGAAGUGUGUCUCUGUUCAGCUCGUCCUGUCCCAGUUGGCUGCCCAACGAAAGGUAAUUUUAUGCCUCCUUACGUUCAUUCAUCGUCAUAUCUUGUUUAGUAGUUUAAACUUAUCAUAUUGUGUCGUUGAAUUCCACUUUGAGAUGGGUUGAACGUUUUUUCGUUACAAGUUCUAUUUCUGUGUGACCUUAGGUGUUCGUUUUGCGGCUCCUAAAUUUUUGUGACUGAGAUUUGCUUAUAUUUUUGUUCGAAUAAGUAAUAUAAGCGAAUAUUUUGUAUGUUCUCGAAAGUUUCUUAGUUUGUUUGUUUAGCUAAAUCAUAAUGUUAUUUGCUUAUCGAUCUUAAAUCUUAUGUUCACUAGAGUAUUGUUGGUUUGAUGUGUAGAUCUUAAUAGGUCUGUUUCUUAAUUCUACUGUUUAAGCAUAGGUUUUCUUGAUUAAAAUAUAGUUACUUGUGACUUAGUUUUUCUUUUGAGUCAAGGAUAGAAUGGGAUAUGAAAUUUGCUCUCUUUCUAGUUCAUAAAAAAAAUAUAUAAUAAAAAACCUUACUUCUUGGCUAUAUGAGUUACGGACAUAUAUUACUUAUGGCUGCAUAUUUCAUCUGCUACCUAAUUAACUUCAUAGCAAUUUUCUUGGAAUUACAUGGUAGAGUUAGAUUUAGUCUUAAGUUAAAAUUAGUCUACUAGUCGUUGUCCAGAAAGAGAUGCAUAAUGGUAGUAUUUAUUCACACUAAUUGUUGCUAAUGAUUUAAGUUUGUCUUAUCUUCUUCAAUGUCUAAGAUAGUCAUUAAUUAUGGUCCCAUUCCCUCUCUAAUAUUAAUAUUGUUUAAAUUCCCUUUAGGUGUUAGUCUUGACAUUUUGCUUGAAUGCACAUUUGAUUACAUUCUAUGGGGGGAUUAAAUUAGUGUUCACAUAAUCAAAAUUUUGGAUAAUCUCGUCGGCUUAGUAGUAUAGAUAAAAACUGGUUUUUUUUUGUUUUUGUUGUUUUGUUAUGCCUAUCGACUUAAUAUUUUUCUUACUUUGAUAUGACUAGCUUAGAUGAACUAAUUCAUAUUAUUUAUUUUACUCGCAUGUGACAUCGAUUCGAGUUCACUUUGGACUCCAUCCUUGCAUUUCUCUCGAGUUACAUUUAAAAUCGAGUCCCAAUGGACUGAUGUGUGAAGCCAAGGAAGCAGGUGUACAGGUUAAUGGCCGAUUGCAGGUCUCAAAAGGCCCAAAAAGGGCUGAUAUACCUGCUGUAUACACUCGUAUACAGCCGGAAAUAUGGUUUACAGGUUGCAAAAAUAUGAGGAUACAAGUUUGAUGAGAAGACAUAAAUUGAUAGCUAUUGUUCAAGGAAAAAUGCAGAAAUACGGACCCCAAACACGGUCCAUAUACAGUGAUAUACGUAAAGGGUAUAUGCAGAUUUUUCCAAAAAGCAAAACAGGCCCAAAGGCCUUAGACAAUUUCAGCAAAGUCCAAGAUGUGGGAAAUUUGGGCCAAAGGCCCAAAUUUGAUUAUUUCCUUUCCCUCCCUUAUUAUUUAUAUUUUGUUUAACUAACUUUGUUUAUUUUAUGGUUUUAAUUUAAUUAAAUUCCUCAAGAUAGCCAUUUUUUUAUUUAUAUAUAUAUANNNNNNNNNNNNNNNNNNNNNNNNNNNCCCUUUAGAAAAUUCCCCUCUAGUUCAUUUCCCUUUAGAUAAAUAAAAUGAUAAAAAAUAAUAAUAGUAAUAAAUAAGUAGCUUAAAAUAAAAACGAGUUUUUACUUAGUUAAAAUUUCCAAAAAAAAAAAAAGUCAAAAAUAAAUGAGUCCUUCUUACCUAGUUAAAAUUUCAAAAAGUUGGUUUAAAUAGACGAGUUUUUUUUUUUACUUGGUUAGAAUCUCAAUAAAAUUAGUUAAAAUAAAUUGAGUUCUUUACUUAGUUAAAAUUUUAAAAUUAGUCAAAGUCGUAAUGAAUUCUUUUACUUAAGUUAAAAUUUCAAAAUUAGUCAAAAUCAUUUUGGUCAAAUCGCCGGUCAACCGCGAGUUAGCGGGCAUUCCGAGGGCUUAACACCUUCUCGGAAUGUACAUUGAACUUCCAACCCUCUUAUUUUCAAUGGAUUUUAUUUGUUUAAAUCUUUUGAAAACCUUUAAAUUUUUUCUUGAUUUUUUACUAAAAAUUAAGUGGCGACUCUAUCCUUUUGGAAAUUCGAUUUUUCUUAAACUAUAAGUUUAAUCGACUUUUCGAAAACUAAGUCAUUUUUCCUUGUAUAUAUCUUUUUAAGUAAAACAUCUGGUAUUUCAGAUGAAGAGUGACGAACGAGAUGGAAGUGAGGCAAGGGAAGCGAGCGAGAUUGUUAUGUAUAUAAGAUAUAUGUGAAUUCACUGGAUACCAUGUAUCUAGAAUAAAUUAUACAUAAUUUUGAUCUCAUGUAUCUCGGAAUACAUGUAUCUGGACGCACCAAAAUAUGAUAAGUAUUCGUAAUAUUGCGAACGAGAGCAUAUAUAAGUAAUUAACUCCUAAACUAGUGAAAUUUAUGUAAGUUCCCUUUUAAUUUGCUUCUCCUAUCUUGAUUUGAUACAGAGUUUAAAAAAGUAAAGAAGACGUUUGAAUCUUCUAGUCUUAAAUUAAGGAUAUGCAAAUCUUGUGGUCUUAAACAUGACAUGUGAAAAGUUACAAAUAGGAAUGAGACAUUUCAUUUUGAAAGGCACUAAAAUAGUAGUAUAAAAAUCUAUAAAAAAAUUCCUCAAAAUAUGCAAUUUCGGCUAUGAGAUUUUACUUUUAAGACAAAAUGUGUUUGCAAAAUGUGAUUUAUAUGUAUCUUGAUUUAUAUUUAACAUAAUAAACGAUUUGAAAAACAACAUUACCUUAUAUGAUAUUUCAAAAAUAUAUCUCUACUAUACUCAUUUUGUGAGUAUGUUUUAUGGAACUUAUCUUUCAUUUUCAUAAAUACUUUAAGUGACACUUUCAUUUCUACAUCCUAGUUUGAUCAUAGGCAACAUAUUCAUAGUUUCACUGAUUGAUCAUUGAUGUAUAUCAAGAUCUUGAAAUCAUAUACAAUGUUGGUUUUGCACAAGAUUGGCAAGGACUAGUCGAAAUAUAUAGUUUAGUGUACAUGACUUGCAUAAUUAGAACUUCAGUGCAUUUCUAGAAACAGAGAAAUGCAGCAGCAAACUAUAAGAAACUACGUGAUAACUAUAGAGCAGAUUUCGAGAAAAAUACAUGAAUACAUUCUCAUUCAGUUUAAGGAUUAUGUACAUGAUCUCCAAUACCUUAUAACAUGUAAUCUAGGUCAGACUUCUACAACACUGUCAUCUUAUCUUGUACAACACUCCAACUCUUUAAAACACUAUCUUAACCAUACUAGUCUUAGCAUUCAGUUCAAGUAAAUUAGACAAUCAUUCACCUGAUAAUAAGAUAAUGCCAUUGACAAAAAAUUAUCUAAGAAGUAGAAGAAGAAAUAUACAUAUUGCAUUAGCUUUUCAGUUACAAAAUGCAUAUACAAAAUUCUAACGAAGAUCACAAUGACAACAAUCGUGCAUAACUGAUAAAAUAUGGGUUCACGUCUAGCUUCUAAUGCUCUGCGAUGUUCGAUUUCUUUUUCAAUUUGUUCAAUCCUUACUUGUAACAUAAACCGUUCGAAAUUUCUACGUCCUGCCAUAUAUUGAAGUGAUUGCCAAUAUUUGACAUAUCCCAACCCAAUGUAUAUUCAAGUAGUCAUCCAAAUAACAGAAAUUCAAUCAAUUUUGGUGUAUUUUAUGGUGAAUUGAAAUAGACAGGCCGAUGGUUGAAGAAGAAGAAUAAUAAUUUGGGAGAGUAACGAUGAAUUUGAAGAAAAAUUGGAGGGAAAUGAGAAUAUUAAUCAAGUACAAAGUUUGUUUUUAUAUAGACAAUUUCGUUUAGUGAUUUUAAUUAACUAUAAUUAAUUACUUCUAACUAAUCGUUAGUUUAAUGCUUAUUAAACCUUACUCAAAUUUUAAGUAUGAAAAGAAAUGGUAAAGGUAAAGAGAAUGGAAGCCCAAGCACACGCGGGUACAGAAAAACCUAAUGUGAAAGCAAAAAUAGAGUUAAAUCCAACCCAUGUUUACAUAUGUUUGAUGAUUAGGUUGAAAAUAUGGUCCAUUGUUGAAAAUUUGGCCCCAACAUGUCUGCUUCUUUUAUAGCUACAUUCCAUUUGCUUACUUAUCUCCCUCCGUUUUAAUUUAGGAGAAACUAUAUCGUUAGACAUAUUUCACUAUUAUAUAUACUACUAUUACUUAUAUUUUUAAAAUAUUACAUAUUUUAUCACUAAUUAAGAGUUUUCUAUUAUAUAUUAAGGAAAAUACAUUUAGAUACAUGUAUUUUUGCUACUAGAUACACUAAAAUAGAGAGAGAGGCGAGCGAGAUAGUCAACUGUCCCAGAUACAUGCAAAUCACACUAGAUACACACUACAUACAUGUAUUUUGUAUGUAAUUGAGAUACAGAUACGUAGGAGGGUGACUAGCAAGAUGGAGUGUGGGGGGGGGGGAAGGCGAUCGAGAUUUAUUGUGUAUCCCGGAUACAUUUGAAUCCACUUGAAUACAGUGUAUCUAGAACAUAUUAUACCUAAUUUUGACCUCAUGUAUCCUAAGAUACAUGUAUCAGGAUGCACCAAAAUAUGAUAAAAUCCGUAAUAUUGCAAACUAGAGUGUAUAUAAAUAAUUAGCUCCUAACCUAGUGAGUUUUAUGUAAGUUUCCCUUUAAUUUUUCUGUCUUAUUUUGAUUUGAUACGAAAUUUUAAAAAGCAAAGAAGACUUUUGAAUCUCCUGAACUUUAAUUAAGUAUAUGCAAAUCUUGUGGCCUUAAAUAAAACAUGUGGAAAGUUGCAAUUAAAAAAUUGUUAAAAAAGGAAAGAGACAUUUCGUUUUGAAACAAAUUAAAAGAAAAGUAUCACAAAAAAUUGAAACAGAUGGAGUAUUAUAGUUAAAUUGGUGAAUAAAUCUUGUAAUUUUUUCCUCAAAAUAUGCAGUUCUGGCUAAGAGAUUUUACUUCAAAAACAAAACAUGUAUGCAAAAUGUGCUUUAUAUGUGUCUUGAUUUAACUGAGGUAAUAAACAGUUUGAAAAAUAAUGUUAGCUUAUAUGAUAUUUAAAAAAUAUAUCUCUACAAUACUCAUUUUGUGAGUAUAUUCUAUGGAAUUUAUAUUUCACUUUCAUAAAUACUUUUAACGACCCAAAAUCACUCCCAAUAUAACAUUAUUCAUCUUGUAUAGAAUUAACCUUUCACUUCUAAAGACUUAGCUGUAACAGCUUGCAAGAGGUCUUACAAAAUUGGUUAUACACAAAUGAACAUCAUCCAUCUUACAACAAUACAAAAAUGAAGUUUUUCAUUGAUUAAUGUACAUCAAGAUCUUGAAAUCAUAUACAAUGAAGGUUUUGCUGUAUAGUUUACUGUAUGUGACCUGCAUAAUUGGAACUUCAGUGCAUUCCUAGAAACAGAGAAGUGUCGUUGCAAGCUUCACGCCUUAUCAGUCGUAACUGCAGAUUAGUCACCUAGAAGACACAGUGGUUGCCUCAUGCUAAGUUCAGCCUUGAGGUUUGGAUAUUUCUCCAGAUCAAGAGAAUCACCCAAAAUUUUCUGGAAGAAUGAUUAAUAAUAUCUUAGUUUUGUUUGGCAGAAAAACUAUACAAUGAGGGGAUCAAUAGAAUAUACAGAGAUGUCAAGUAAACAAUAUAGAGUUAAAAACCAGAAGCUCAAAAGAAAAGUAUCCAACACAGGAUUGUAAUAAAAAGACAGCAAAUAACAAGAUAUGAAAAACACGUGCAGCAACAGAUGGUAAUACACAUUGAGAAUAAGAAACUACGCGAUGACUAAAUAAUACUACUAAAACGGAGAAGUGGAGAGGAGGAGGCUAUCACACAGCUUUAGUCCAUGAAGGAAACCAUCUCACUUGCAACCACUUAUAGAAGCUAUGAAGCAAAUUUCGAGAAAAAUACACAAAUAUGUCCUCAUUCAGUUUUUAGGAUUAUGUGCAUUAUCUCACUGUCUGGAAUAUUAUUAUAGUUGACUAUGUUGUUGAGACAAAAUAGUAUGCCGAUGAGUUUGUUUACUGUCUCAUGCAUAAUAAAGACAAAUAGGAGAAUAAAAGACUAAACAUAUGAGUUACCAGCAAAUGCUAGAAACUUUUAUAGGCAUACAAUACCUUAUAACAUGUAAUCUAGAGGGGAAAAGUACAAAUGGUUAAAAAGGAAAUAAAAAGGUAAAAUAAGACAAUGUUGCAAAAAAUAUGAAACCAGAGAGUAGAUUAGAGGAUGUAUCGUGAAUUUGACAUGUGUGGUUUCUCUAUCAGCUAGCAUAUUCUUUUGCUAUAUUUUGUUGUAUUUAUUUUGUGUUGUUCGAUGCUAUUCAGUGUUCUAUUAAGCUGUAUAGAGUAUCGAAUUAAAAAUUAGCAUAGACAGGGCUCCGUGUAAUGUGGUUUGUUCUUUUAUAAAAAAAGAGAACUUUUGGCUAUAAUUUAUGCUUCUUAUAUACAAAGAAUAUGAUUUUGUGUCCAACUCACGUUGUUUCCCUGUGAUUUCUAGAAUUUUGUAUCUUAACACCAAGUUGAUUAACAGAAAAUAAGACAUAUUGAGUAUAAAAAAAUGCGUAAACUCAUCGAUCUACUAGUAAAGAUCAAGAAACUUAUGGAUUAGAUAUUGAAAUCAUUGGUAGGAAUUGUACUCACCAAAGCAGCAAGAUGUGCAUCUUGUAUGAUAUUUCCAUCUAUCUCUAACCGAGCAAUAGGAAACUCUGGAAGAUGUCCAGACUGCUUCCUCCCAAGUAAAUCUCCAGGUCCUCUCAUUACAAGAUCCAUAUUUGCGAGGUAAAAACCGUCAGAUGAUUUCUCAAGCACCUGCAAGCGACUUAGACUGCUGUCGGUUGAUCCCACCAAUAUACACUUGGACUUUUUUUCUCCACGUCCAACUCGUCCUCUAAGUUGAUGCAACUGAGCUAUUCCAAAUCUCUCAGCAUUCAUAACAACCAUCAUAGAUGCAUCUGGAAUAUCAACCCCAAUCUCAAUAACUUGCGUUGAAAGCAAGAUAUUGGUUUCUCCGGAUCUAAACAGGUUUAAUGCUUCACUUUUCUCAUCACCCUUCAUUUUUCCAUGUAAGAGACCGCAGUUGUACCCUAAAAACUUUUGAGAUAUAGUCUCAAGAUCAGCCGAAGCUGCACGAAGCUGAGGCAAUUGCUCGGAUUGUUCAAUGACCGGAUAAACAAGAUAUAUUUUACCCCCUGCUUCUAACUCAUCAAACAUCAUCUGUACUGGAAAUAGUGCUAUAGGAAGUUAGACAAAAACAUAUGUCGGAAACAAGAUCAAGCUUAUGACUGACCAGUACAAAUUGACUGUAUUCUUAUUUAGUAUAGUAACAAUGAUUAAAAUUUUGGACUUCAAAAGUCCCAUUUCUCCAGGUUAUAAUGACUACAAACAGCAAAGCUGAUUAUUCUGUCAAGAUGGAACAAGAGAGUUGUAGAUAUCACUAUUACCAACAUGAACUACCUAAAUAUCAUGCUUCAAAGUUCAAAGAAAUACAAAGUGUAAUUGCCUGAGACCAAGGAAAAGAAAAAGAUACGACCUGAUAGACCUUCUCAAAUCCAGGUUCAUUUCCUUCAAUCACAAAUGUUUCAACAGGAAUUCUUCCAGGAGGCAAAUCAGUGAUCUGUUGUUAAAAGAAAUCAAGCAAAGAAAAAGAGUACAUAGAAACAGGUGAUAAUUCUGAAGUUACAGCAACAAACUAAAACUUAUAGCAACCAAGUCACACAGUUGAACUGCCAAUAAUAUCAAGAAAACCAGGUAAAGAAGACUCAAAGAGCAAAAGGCCUUCCUUGCCCAAAUAUUUUCUAGUAUGCCUAACUAAAUCUUGUUAUGCCACCCCUUGAACACUUGCUAGAAGCUCAAAUGUAGGCAUAACAAAUCUUUGUAUGCAACAUGAUUCACAAAAAGAAUACUGCAACUUCCCAAAAGGUAUAUAAGUGAGCGGAAAAUGAGAGUUAAAAGUCAAAUUGAAAAUAUGGAGAUGGGGCUUUGGGCAAAAAAACAACUUAAAAUUUACUUCAACUCCAGUUCCAGUACUAAAAGCAUGUACUGAAAUCAGAAAUGAUCUCAGCUAACAGGCAGUAGCAUAUUGACACAAGGAUACAAACUCUUAACACACCUGUGUCAAAGACAUGUCUCCAUACAAAGCCAGAGCCAAAGACCUUGGAAUUGGAGUGGCCGACAUAGCUAGGAUAUGAGGAGCCAUAAUUACACUGUCCUUGGAGGAAUCGUCUGAGAUUUUCGAAGAGAUCUUGGAACUUAUUGAGUUAUAAUAUAACUGCAAGACCAUAGAGGCUUCAAUCAAUUCCCGGUUAAAGAAAGAAACCAUGUUAAACCAAACAUGUGCAUUAGUUCACAGGAUUCCUAUCCUUUUAAUAAAGUUUCAUCAAAUUUAAAUUAGUGCAUUGGCAACAAUGCAUGGAGAUUGUUACAGAUCCUUGAAAUUACAGACAAUCUUGUAUCUAAGUGUUAUAUCUAUCUACAUAAAAAAAGAUCACCAUUCACCAGUUUAAGCUUAUGCAUUAUAGCAUAACUGCAAAAUGAUCAUGUUAACUUUUUAAAAAAAAGGAAUCAGCAAAGCUGCACACUUAACUACAAAAUCUGGUUAGUUGUAGUCAAAAGCAAUUUCAACAUCAAAAUGUUUUUGAUAAGAUAUCAUAUUGAUUCAUGAAACUCACAAUCAAGCAUCGUCACAUAGAAGCAGUGUAAGUUUUCAUCAGUAAAUCAAGUUAUCAUUAAUAAAAUUUAACCAAUCAUCUAAGCAACAUAUAGCUUCAGUACUCCACAAAUAAAGUAUACUAUUAUAUCAUGUUCUGCACUAGUGCAAAGGAUUGAUCUCCACUUCAUUACAUGCAAAAAGAAAAUUAAUAACCUGACAUUCACAAAUUAAACAGUCAGAUGAAGAACGAGUGAACGAUCUGUAAUUAUUCCUAGUUUGGUUUUAUCUUGAUUGCAUAGUGGGAAAUCCUCAGCAACUUUUAGAUGCACAAUCACCAAUCAAGGCGAGGCAGGUCCAAGCAUAUUACCUUGCUGUUAAAUCGUCCUCUUUGGAUUACUCCAAAACGAUGUUGCUCAUCCACAACAGCGAUGCGUAAAGCCGAAAAUUCCACUUUUUCAGCGAUUAAGCUGUGAGUCCCAAUGACCAAAGAGAUAUCACCAGUUUGGAGACCCUGCCAACAGAUGGCAAACAGUAAAAUAAACUGAAAGGAGAAACGUAAAACCCUUGAUAAUAAAAGCAUGUCAGCUAUAGGUGAUUUUGUGAUAAUAAGGAGAAUUCUUCAGCUUAGUCCUUCUUUUGAGCUUUUAGGUAGGGGAUUCAUAUAACUUAACAUGAUACCCAGUGCAAGGAAAGGUGGAAAGGUCUUAAAUUCGAGUGACUUCGUUAUUGAUGAACAAAAUAUCUUUGGUAGGUGCCUGACUCAAGAAAAAGAAUCAGGCUUACACACGAUGUCACGAACCUAAGAAAAAUAAAAGUACAGUAUCUCCCUUCUAACAACUUAAAUUCUGAGACGAGACUGUUCAUAAUUCAACAAUAAUAAAUAAAUAGAUGAAAUUGGCUUCUUCUUUUUUUAUAGGUCCGAUAGCAAGAUGUUUUUCGAGAUAGAUGUAACUAUCAACCUUCAAAGGUUACACUAUACUCAUGAAAAAGUAGAAUAGAAGUUAGAAUUUAGUGCUUCAUGUUUUCUAAGAAUUAUCAUGCUUUAAAUAUUUAUAGGCGAAUACCAAGAAACUCAUGCUGAUUCCAGAAACCUUUUUGUCCUCUGACUCUUCAUUCUUGUGUUCUCCUUUAAGAACAUUUUACUACAGAAAAUUUAGACUAAAAUCACAUGUGUUUCUCUAUUUCACUACCUUUUAAGCCACACUGUGCUACUAGGUACCUUUUCACUCAAUUUGACGCCUACAUUUCAAAGUCAGCAAAGCAGCUUUUGCUUAAAGAUAUCCCAAUUCCCACAUCAAUGGUGGCCAAAACCAUUUAAUAAGGAAAAAUUGAAGUGCUGCCUUAAGAUUUCUUACCUGUCGAAUCAACCGUGAUUCCUUUGUAGAUGUUGAGCCAGUCAAUAAAGCAACUGAUAGUUUGCAUUCUGCCGCUUCCAUGUUUGCUAAUAAGAUUUGAAUUUGCUCAUAAUGCUGAAUAGCAAGCAACUCGGUUGGGACCAUAAAAGCUGCCUAAAGAUGAGAACUUAGCAAUUAUUACAUGUGGCACUGGGUAGUUAGAAGGCCGAAAGAGUUUAUAGCUCCAAGCUUGUAUUCUAGAAGGGAUGUAUGAAAACCAAAUUCUUUUUUUGGAUACUUGUACUAACAAUCAUAACAUAGCUAAUAAAACAAAGCAAAAUAUAGCCACAAAGAAAUCACAAGCUAAUGCAGAAAAAAAUAUUAAUGCUGACUAACCUGGUAACCUAAACUGAUAACCUCCAAACAUGCUAAAAAUGCAACCACAGUUUUCCCGCAUCCAACAUCACCCUGAAAAAGUGAGCAAAUUUGAAACACCCAUUCAAAUCCGCAAAAAAACUCUAGUCUUCCAAAAGAAAGUCAAGUAAUUCUAUUUCAGAAGCAAGAACAUCAUUUCUCAGUUGAUAUCUGAGAAAAAAAGUUAAAGAAAAACAUUAAUUGAGAGAUGGCGAGUAUAAUAUCCAACUCGACUGCCAAUUUUAAUUUGUCAAAAAACUUGAAAUUAAAAAGAAGACGGACUAGGAAAAUGUUGUUUUUAACUUAUGCAGAUGCCAUGUUAACCUUCCAAUAAAAUCAUUUGUGUCUUUUUAUAAUUAGGUAAACAGUUUCAUUUCAUAAAAUCAAAAGGCCAGUGUCUGUAUACAAGAAGUAUGCCAAAGAGUAAAAAAAUCUACAAAAAGAUAUGGUUCCCUACAAAAGACGCCCAAUCCUCUAUGCAUCCCCGAACUACAUGGGUGCACAAAAAAUAAAUGAGGGAUUGGAGAUUACUCAACUACCCAAAACUCAUUUCUACUCCUUCAAAAACCCUCAUAUUUCUCUCUUUCCAGUCUCCAGGUGAUCCACAUCAAAAUGAAUGAAUACCAAGAAUAAUGAAAAGUGUAAUAAGAAUGAAAAAUGUGAUGUUAGAAGAAAUGAAUGAAAACCAAAAAUAGUUUCCCCUCCCCACCCCAAAAAACAACUUGCAAGUAAACAGUAAAGCACAUCUCACUACCUGUAGUAGACGAUUCAUUGGGACAGGUUGCUUUAGAUCCCAAAUAAUUUCUGAAGCAGCUCGCAAUUGACUGGGUGUAAGAGAAUAUGGAAGAGCCUUCAGAAAUUUGUUAGUCAGCAUGGACCAUCCAUCUGUGUUUAUCAAAUUGAAUUCAGAUUUCCGAUACUUAUCCAGCAAUCCAUCUUUCUCUACUUUUGUACCAAGACCUUCAAGCAUUUGGAAUAACCGCCCAAGCUGCAAGAUAAUGAAAGCAGUGAGUGAUACUAACAGCAUCCCAAGCCACGAGAUCAUGGAAAAGCAUCCAUGUCUGUUUUUUGUAAGAACACAAGCAUCCAUGUCUCUUAUUGUGCGUCAAAAUCUGAAAGUCGGUUAUUGUGGCUCUAUUUUCAUGUGCAUAUUAUCAAAUUUCCCAGAAGCUAACUGACCGUGGUAAAGUCACAUUUGUUAUAAUCAACAUACAUGUUCAAGCAGAUCCCUGUCGAAUUGCAGGGUAUAUUUGGAAAAUGAAGCCUAGACUAAACAGAAGGCUAGAUGAUUUGAACUUCUAUCCUUAAUGGAAUAUGCACUGGAUAUUUGUACCAAGGAUAAACGCUGUUAGGAGAGUGGAAUAUGGAAAUUUGAUGUAUUAAUUCUGGGAGAUGGGGUAGAAGUGGGAAUAGUUAAUACUAUGACUGGCAGCAUGUUCAAUCUUGGAACAAUUUUGUUUUUCUUUCUUGAGUUGCAGUUCCUUACUUCGGUAAUAAAAUAGUUAGUUACAAAAAAAAUCAAGUUCAGAUGAGAGAGAGAGAACCUUCAUACCAAAAUCAUAAUGGGUAGCUCAAUUAGGUCCUACAGCACCUUGAAAGAGUUGAUUUUCUUAUAAGCAUACAGAAAGUGGGAACAGGGAUACUACUGGUCCCGCAAUAAAGGUAUUUGAUGGAAUCAGAGAUUUGUGCUGCAUGUUUCCUGUAGACAUCUGGUGCAAAAACAAUGCUCUUGCCAUGUUACCCAAGAAAGGAACUUCUUUUCCCGACUGAGUUUUACUUUUCUAAUAUCAAUGUUUGGGGAAGAUAUCUACUACUCAAAAAUCAAAAUACAGCAAGGGUUUGAAAACUGAAGUUCUUUAUUUUAAAGAGGUGUAAUCUACCUCCAUGCCUAUCCCUCCGUCUUACUAAGUUAAAUAAAAUUUAUAUUCCAUGGUCAUGAUGGAGGAGUAGCUGCUAGCAAACAAAGUCUUAUACAGGAUUUCAUUAUCAAACAUGGGAGAGAAGUUCUGGUGAUCUAUGAUAAACUAAGGGAGACUAACACCUUGUCAUGAGUCAUGACAAAGGCAUAGCUACCUCUGAAAAGGAUGAACCCAAAUAAAAAGUUGCAGUUAGACUGCAGGUACUAAUGAUGACAGGAAGGAUGAGAGGGCAAGAUGAUGCAGCUUAAGAGAGCAUGAUUCUUCCUAGUAGUGUUUCUGAAAGGAAGUAAUGUCUCUUUUUCUUCCGUCAUUGGUGGAAGGAUGGUGCAGAAACAAAAGCAUUUUGCUAUUAAAUAUCACAACAGAGUGAAAUCCUAAAGGACAAUGAUCUCAUUUUCUUCAGUCAUCGAGUGCCAGGGUGGUCAAGAAAACAAAAGCAUUUGUUUUUUGAAACUUAGAACAGCACGAUAUUCUAAAAAACGAACAAAGGAAGAACUGGAAUCUCUUGGAGCUUUGCAAGGUAUGGUUUUGGAGAAGAGAGUUGAAACCUCCCAUCAUCACAACAAAAUAAAGGCCCAAGAACGAUACUUCUUAAUACAAGAGUGUGACUGUACCAGCAUCAUGUGAAAUUGUGAAUAUAAUUGAAGAAUCAAAGUCAAAAAAGAAAAGAAAAGGAGGGGGGACAAAGUGCAGCCUAAAGUCCAGUUCACAAGAGCGGAGAAACUAAAUUCGGACGUUCUUUAUGCUAUUUUAGUUCUUCCUUUAUGUAGAAAUUGAAUUCAACAACUAAGAAGUUAUUUAGCUCCUUUAAUAUCCAAAACUAUGAUUACCUGAAGAUAAAAGAAUUCAUCAAAUACAAGCCUUUUGCGCGCUAACUCAGCCUCUUUUACACUUUUUGGCUGGUGAAUUCCUGCAUAUGCCUGUUUAUUGUACAGCCACAAGAGGAAAAAGAAACAAUCAGUCUCAAUAAAAAAGGAGAUUGGGAGUAAAAAGAGUUGUCGAUGACAUAGAAAUAAAUAAAAAUGUCUCUUCUUUAAUGAUUAAGCUUUUGAAUAAGGUGGUUAGCACAGAUCAUCAUACCAGAGCAAACAAAACUUCUGGGUUUGAGUCCCUCCAUCACCCAUUAACAAAACAUUUUUCAUGUGCUUGGCCCGAGAAAUGAAUCGUGCCCAAGAAAAAGAUUUUUAGCAGUCUCGUUAAUAUUCUUGCACAUGAUACAAGCAUCAGAAAAAGGAGACUGGAGAAUCUCCAAAUUACUAUUAGGAGAGUGGUACUAAAGGAGGAGUGGAGAAUAUGCCAGAAAAAUCCAUUGAGCCUGAACAAAGAGAGCUAAAUCCUGAAUUUUGUAAGUCAAUAGGUAAACUAAAGGAGAAAGUCUCAGCUCUAAUUUUCUAACACCACAAGCAUGAGAUGAUGAUUUAAGUGUGCAAAAUACUCAACCAUGAAUAAGAUCAUCCUUCACCAAUGGGAGAGGAAAUGUGAGCCACAAGAAAUAGAAAGCCUAUUAUAGAGAUCAGACAAUGAGAUCUUGAGGUGUCAGUAAGUAAAACAGGAGAUACUUCAUCAGCUUCUUGAUAGUUAUUCAAGAAAACUCGUGUAUUUUCUCAGGAAAAGAUUGAUUGUAUCACUACACCCUUAACCAAUUAACCCAACUUUCUCUCAGAAAAGAAAGGUCAAUUUUGUUCUAAAAUAAAGUAACUGAAAAAAGCACUAAGAAGUAUAUCAUAUAUUCUAUUUCUUAGUCUGUUGUACAGAAAAUAACAAGAAACCUCGUGUUCGUUUUUUCCUUAUCCUCCUCAGCUUUAUCAUUGUUUCACUCAAAAGAAUGCUACACAUCAUGUUUGUUUUCAGAAAAUAGGACAAGCAAUAAAUGUAUAUUCCUAAAAGAUCUCAUUUUCAACUGUCUCAGGGCCAUAGAAUUCCAUUGAAAUGAUACAAGCAACUAUUUCCAGCAAAAAAGACAUAAAAUCUCAACACCAUACACAUCAUUUCAUUUUACAGUAUACAUGGUGCAGUAUAAAAUAAUAGAAGACAACGUAAAUCUGACGAGCCAUAUGAGAGCAAUAACUUACGUCAUGAAGGCAUAGGAGUCCAAAAUCAUGAGCAAGAUCUUCAGGUAUAGGAUCAAUAUUGGAUGGAAGCACCUUUAAGGCUCUAUUUAAAUAUUAAAAGAAGGCAUAAAAUACUUGAGAAGAAUGAUACACAGUUAAAUCAAAAUUACAAAAAGCAAUAAACAAAUAAAUCAUGCAAGAUGAGACAAAACACAUUUAACAACUUACAGCUAGAAACUAUGUCCAUGUUUCAAUUAAGAAAACAAUUAAAUCUCAAGACAACAUAAUGAGAUCAGCUGGAAUAGUUGCUACAGGCAGACACUACAAGGAAGCUGGUCAGAAAAUAGAUGCUGACAACGACAAAUUUGGGACAUAGAAACUAGUUAAAAGAAGGCCGAGUCCACAUCUGAUACAUGAGAAUUGUUCAGCUAUGUACUUUCAUUACUCUUAUUUCAUCAACUUAUGUCAUGUUUACCUCCAAAAGAACAAGGAAGUUGUCAGACCACUACAAAGAGUAGAGUGCUAAUACUAGUGGUAUUACAGGCAUUAUUUAGUUACAUUUCAUCAGUUAGAAUAGUUCAGUUACACCAUUUGACAGAUGAAUAAGUAGCAAUGGUAAAUCUCAAUUCACAAUAUUCUUCAAGAUGUCCUUUGCACUUGUGUGCUCUAAGCUUGUCUUUAACUCUCCUGCACAUGCAGUCCAUGAAAAUUUUAGAGUUCUUUUAUUCCGAUAAAUGCUAUGCAACUUCAAAAAACUGAAGUAGGUUAAUGAGAUCAUCACGAUACAUGCAUAUGUUUUUCUUCCUGUUAUGUCAUGUAAUCUAUGAAAAUUUUAACGUCAUUUUACACAAAUCGAAUGCUUUUUGAGCAAUUUCAAAUAACUAAAAGCAAGUUCAUUGGAAUCAACAACAUACAUCAUGUGCCUUAAACAAAGUAGUCGUCCUUAUUUAGGCAAUGUCUUACUAAUAACAUACUACAUAAAUGCAUGUAAAACUAGAACAAAAUAAACAAAUGUGAGAAUGAACAUAAACAGAUAAGCUUCUCAUGACAAAAAUGGCAAGAAAUGGUUUUUAAAAUAUACCAUUUUGCACAUACUACUACAAAGUAGCUUGGGUUUGAGAUCUGACCUUGAAAUCACAUCCCUAAGGAAGUUAGAGCUUAAACCUCCUUUUGAAGGAUAUAUAGGAUACGGCCUCCCUUGUGCACAAAAUGAUGGAUCCUUUUCAUCUUGUAGCACAUCCAUAUUGUAUUCCCUCAUCUCGUAAUGAUUUUUUGACCUCAUAAUCCGCACCUUUCAAAUAGUAACAUACAGAUUACAAUAUGUUAGAAAUUAGAAAAACAAAAUAAGGCGCAGUGCCACAAUGAUAACUGACAUGUAUUCAUAACAACCAUAAACAACCGAUUGCUCCACAUAACGGCCUACAAUUAUGUCAUUAUGUGCAACCUAUAUAGAACCCAUGUGCUAAUCAACUAAGAAGACUCAGACAAUGAACAGGAAUAGUGAAUCUAAUCUAUCAUUUUUCUCAUUACUAAGGAGUAGGAAACUAAGAAAUCUAAAACUCUACCCCUUUUGACUUUCAAAACAAAUGCCUGGAUCUCUAAAGCUGCUAUUUGACACUUGAUAUUCAACUUGCAACCAUAAUAUGGAGUUACCCAUGAGAAAGUUCAUCAGAUCGCACACGACAUAACAAACAAAUUCUUAGCUUUGGUAACUCUCAGAAACUGCUAUAUCAUAUAUAUGAUAUAAGUAAAACAAGUAACCAACUGUUUCCAGAUCACGCUACAGACCAUAACAGAUCCAGUUUAGCUUAAAAGGUGACUUGUGCAAUAAGUAGUAAAAGUUUGUCAUCAUUAGCAAUAAAGUUAAAAAUUGCUAGAAGAUAAUAACAAAUUCAUCAAAUUCUUUCAAUGAUGGAUUAAAGAUUGACCAACUCACCUUACCACUGACACAUACAAUGUCUCCAACUUUUUGCUUCUCCUCUAGGCUCUUGAGAAAAGGUAGAUACGUGAAGCGAGUGCCUCGGAAAAACUUUUUUAAGUGUAAAAAUACUGUUUUCUUCCUUCCAUUAUCAGCUUUAUCACUCAUUAAAUCAGCACCACCAUCCCUAGAAGUUGAUGGUGAUUCAUUAUCUACAACAUCACAAGCAACAACAACCUCAAGGAAUGACAAAGAAUAACUAGCUCUUAUUCCCCUGCAUGGAAAAAUACAGAAGAAAAUUAUUCAGUUUAACAAAGAUUGUUUUUAAAUUUGAAGUUUGAAGUAUUGGCAGAUGUACACUAUUGUGAAAGCAUAUACACCAGUAAGAGCAAGAGAAUCUAACUUAUCCAUUAGGAGCUAUUUGCUAAGACCAUAUUACUGUUGCAGUGGGUACCAAUCAAUUAAUACUUCACUCAAAAUACAGGAACAACAGAUUCCAAGCAAACUUGAUAUUAUUCAGUAAACACCUAUUAGAAACAGCAGAUAGAUCCUAAACACCCUCUCAAGAAAAGGAAGACAACAACAACAACAGUAAGGUUUCAGACCAAAUAAGUCAUGGUCGACUAUAUGAAUCCUCACUUCUUAAUUUAAGCUCAACUCAUAUCAUCAUCAUAUCAAAUUAAAUAGAAAUGAAAAUUUUAGAUAUUUAAAAACAAUAGUAAUAUUAUUAUUAUUAUUAAUAAUAAUAAUAAUCUCUAACAAUUAUAAAAAUAUACAGAUCUUUUUCUCUAUUGUGCCUUAUCUAUAGCUACCCAGUCCCUUUUUAACAGUGUCACUCACCAAAGUUUCACACCUAUGGACUGGUGCAUUUGUAGGUCAAUGCAAGACAUGAUCAAACCAUCUCAAGCGACCUUAUUUCAUUUUAUCCUCAACAUGUGCUACUUGCACGGUUGCACCUUCGGGUGAAUGUAGUCAUUGUUAAUCAUAGGGUAUAUGUGAAAGGUGCAUGUUACAAGUCCAAAAUGAGGCUAUAUAACCAAAUCUGAGUGGAGAGGUAGAAGGGCAGGCCCAAUAUCCCGAAGUUUUGAAGUUGAUAAAAUGAUUUCUCAAUCCAAUAUAAAAUAGUGCUAACUAUUCCAUAUUCUAAAAAGAAAUAGAAAUAUCUUACAUUCAAAACAAUUAGAAUCAAUCAUGAACAGUUAGUCUUCUUGCAAAGCAUAAAAGGUAAGGUAAGAACUUCUGUAAUGGUAAUUCACCUUGAGGACUUGAUUUUUCCAAUAAAAAUCAAGUAUUGCCCAUCCUCGAUUCCAACCUGUGCAUUUUGCAGAUCAACAUAUGUCCGAGGAAAAUGCUGCAGCAAUUUGCGCGACUACACAUAUACCAGAUGAUUAUUAGAGUUGUGACUUUGAGAGCAAAAUUAUAGUAGGCUAAAUGGUUCCAAGUCUCACUGUGUGAAAGCCACAGUUUUCCAGCUGACGAGAGUGUCGUUUGCUGAGCCCAGGAAUAAAGCUAAUAGAUUGAUCAAGCAUUACUUCAACCAAUCCAUCAUUCUGUUUGACCCCAUGCUGAGGCAGGUUAGAAGGUUUAUCUACAGUGAACUGCAAGUCUUGUCUUGUUUCUGUCUCCAAAGAAUCAGGAAUAUAAGUGGUUGAAUCCAUAUUAGUAGCUCCCGAAUACAAAAUAUGCCAUGUUUCAUACAGUGAAUCAGGAUCGAUCAAUUGUUCACCCACAGAGCUAGACAGAAACUCUCUACAAAUUUUAGUGGCCCACAGCCCACUGUCUCCAUGGUUGGAUGCUGUCCCAUCGUAUAAUUCAACAGGUGGAGAAGAGCCCAACCUGAUUGAAGAGAAUUGUUUACACAUUAAGGAGAAAUCAAAGUCAACUGCUCCUCCAUCAGGAUGAAUAUCAGAUUGUUUUUCGCUUCCGUUGCCAUCAAGCAGGUCAUCUAAACCAUCAUAACCCAUCACCACAGAAGCCUGGGAGAAAUUCAAAUAACUAUCACACGAUGAGGGGAAAUUUCUUGGGAAGGGAGAUGCAUCAAAAACAACUUAAAAAACUACCAAGUUGGGGAACAUCUUUCCUUCUACAUUUCUUUUCUUUUUUUAUUGGAAAUGGUAAUGUUGUAUUCUUCCUUCUACAUUUCUGUUCAAGAAAACCACCACAGUUUCCCAAAGGAAAGACAAUAAAGUACAAACAAGUAACCAGAAUAUUUCAUACAAUUGGGUCGAACAAAAUUGAGGUAGCUCAAGUAUGAGAUAAGCAAACAGAAGGUAACACGUGUAAUCAUUUGAGGCACCUUUUGAAGAAAGAAGGGUUGCGGCAUGUCGAUGGCCAGAGUAAAAAUAGUAGAAUUCUGACAAAUCCUCUUACUACGGAUACAGAGGUGCAUUGACUUGAUGAUACUAAUUGACUAGGAUUUAGGCACCUUCUCCAUACACCCAAACAAACCCAUAAUAUGUUCAUUACACCAUUCAAAGUGAAUCAAAAUAAGAGAAAAGGCAUUUGCAAUUAUUAAGCAUACUACUCCCUUCGCAGCUCACCCGAGAUUCUAAGAAAUACAAUAAAAUGCAUCUAGAAUCCAUCAAAGAUCACAACUACAGAACAUCUACCAUCCAUCAUCUAGUUUAGCUAAAUUAAAUGGACAAAGGCCAGUCAAAUAGAGUAAAAGAUUAUAGAAACCUCACAAGCACAUUUCAAAGUAAUUCAAAGUAACUGAAGAAGUAUCCAUUGUUUAUGGGUCUAAAUGUUAUGCUUGACAUCUGUACUUGAGCUACCAUUUCCAGCCCCUCUAGUAUAUGUACAUAACUUUCUUUCUUUUUUGUAAUCCUCUAGUAUAUGAACAUAUAUGUACCACUCUUUAUUUUUAUUAAAAUUGGAGCAAGUUAUUUCCUCGUGCAAGAACUAUAUGCUCAGAUUUUCCCAAGAACAGAUUAUGUAGUAUUUCACCGGGAAAGUGGAUUUAAUUUUUGAACUUGGUAACUUUGUAUUAUAUCACAAAACAGUACGAACCUUAUAUACAAGUGUACUCCUGAUUUCACUUCUCUACGUCUAAAUUGAGUCUAACACAUCAAUAAUAGAGACAGUGUCAUUAGACUGAUUACACCAAAAGACUAAAAGUAAAAUGCAGUUUAGUUUAACUUUCUGCACAUUGUUCUCUAUGCUCUCAAAACAUCUUGAAUUCCUUUCUUUCCAAACAGCCCACCAGAUAGCCCCCGGGAUAAUUCUCCAUCUACCUCUGUCCUUAGCAUGUACACCUGCUUCCUCCCAGCAUAGUAAUGCCUCAGCCACCUUCCUGGGCAUUGUCCAGGAGAUGCCUUUGAGGCUUAGGAAUAUUCUCCACAGAUGAUGGGUGUACUUGCAAUGUAAAAAUAGAUGGUUAACAGUCUCAGAUGUUUCACCACGUAGGAAGCACCUGGAACACAAAGUUCUCCCCCUCUUCAUAACAUUGUCCAGUGUAAGGACUACUUCCUUAGCCAUUGACCAAACAAAAAAGGAGACUUUGUGAGAGAUUCUGCUCUUCCAUAUUUGCUUCCAAGGCCAACUUGAGCACUAUUGAUCUGUCUGCUCCAUCACCUUGUAGGAUUUGUUGACUUUGAACACUCCCUUGUCAUCUCCUGUCCACCACAAUUUAUCCUCACCUGGCUAUAGUCCAGUGAAAGUGUUCACAGUGUUUAAAAAUUCAGUAACUCUCACUAUUUCCCAAUCAUUAAGGUUUCUUCUGAAAAUGAAAUUUCAUCCUUGUGGUGACCAAAGAUCUGCUAUAGUGCUUUGUUGAAACAUGAUUAGGUUGUAGAUGUCUGGAAAGAGAUCUUCCAUGUUGCCUUUCUCAUGCCUAAUGUCCUUCCAAAAUCUGUUCUUACUUUCAUCCAUUACUUUUGCCUUUGAGUUACUUUUAACUUCAUUCCACAAACUUCUAAGCCUUGCUUUGCAAUUUCAAAUUCUUUAUUCCUAGACCUCCAUUUUCCUUGCUUGUCAUGACUUCUUCCCAUUUAACCAAAUGAAAACUUUUCUUUUCUUUGUUGCCUUGCCACAAAAAAUUCCUCCUGAUACGAUCCAACCUCUUAAUGACCCCUGGUGGGAUAGGAAACAGGGACAUCAUAUAGGUUGGCAAAGCAUCAAGUACUGAGUUAAUAAGGGUCAGUCUACCCCCCUUUGAUAAGUACUGAGACUUCCACUUGGCCAAUUUCUUCUCACACUUCUCAAUCACACUAUUCCAUAUGUCUAUGGACUUGGAUUUGGCCCCCAAAGGCAUUCCCAAGUAUAUAGUAGGCAGAACUCCUAUUUCACCACCCAGAAUUGAUGCUAAACAACUCAUGUUGUUUACUUCAUUUAUAGGAUACAUCAUACUCUUCCUCCAAUUGAUAUGCAAACCAAAAAUACCUUCAAAUAAGACCAGAAUCACUCUUAGAUACUUCAGUUGUUAUUCCUUAGCAUCGCAGAAAAUCAAGGUAUCAUCUGCUUAUUGCAAGUGUGUGACUUCUAGUCUCUCAGUACCUUCUCUGGAUUUAAUUGUUAAAGGUAUAAGUUUUAUAUUCAAACCAAACACUAUGGUUCAAGGAUAUAAAAAAAAAGAACGCCAGGAUGGGGGAACCAUUGAUUUCAGUACCAUGUAAGGGAGGUUUAUCUCUAUCCCCAAGCUUUUUAUGUGUCUUCAUUAGAGAAAUGCAAGUUAUCUACCUCCUAUUUGUGAUGACCUUCAUAGGGUUGCAAAAUCUCUUUCCAUUCUAAGUAGCGGAGACACUAGCCCCUUGCUCCUGCUAUAUAUCCUCUCCUGCUAUCCCUUUCCUUUCACCCAACUAACAUUAAAAAAGAUGGUAGGUAGGCAUUUAAUAGGACGUCCAAAUAAAUAGAGUAUCUCACUAUCUUGAAAUAUAUUGCUCCAUUGUGAGGGAAGAUUCCAACACUGAAUGUCAAAGACUAUUCAUUUAUGUAAUUUCAAGUGACAUGGUUUGAACAAGCUUGCCCAAGUCUUAAGAUACAUUAUGAUGAAAGGUUAUAAAACAUGAGAAUUGAUAUUUCAAGUUCUUAUAUUUUCCUUGUCUUCUACACUUGUUUUUCUCAUCCUACUGAUUGUUUUCUUCCUAUAAAGUCUUAAUUGUUUCCUCUUUAAUGCAAACUUGUUCCAAACUCGAUUAUUAUUCAGAUAGCAUGAAUGUUUUCGACAAAAAGGAAAGAAUACAAAAGGAAAAGAAACCAUCUUGAGGAGGAAGCUGGGGGAGUAACUAAAAAAACAUAAUACAUUUUCCCAUUCAUCAAGAAUUUAGACAGAUUUACUGAAGCAGCGUAAUACAUAUAUGUUAGCUGAGUCUAAUAAAAAAAAAAUAUGUAACCUUAUUUAAAAAUUUUGACCUAUCUUUGACACUAGCGCAGCCAUAAACAUCUACUUCCUUCAACAGUUUUCCCGCAAGCUUAUGCUUCGACCUAGAAAACACUGUCAACAUCUUGGAAUAAAGAAAAUUGUUUAACCUGCAUGAUAUUAGAGGGAUUAAAUAUAGUAUUCAAGUCAAAAAAUUGACUCAAUCAGGAAGAAUUCAUAUAACUAUAAAAUUAUCAGUACCUCAUAUCUUGACUCACAAAGUUCCUAUAUCCUUUCUGAGCUUCAAAUAUCAGUGCACUUCUCAAGCACUUCUCACUUGAACACUGGAAAAGGUUAAUGAGAUCAUAAGGAGAAGAGCAGAUGAUCGAAAACUUCUAAGAUUGACACGUUCCACAGAGGAAUUUGGGAAGAAGCUACAACCUACAUACCAGUAAAAUCCCACUAAGUGGUGUCUGGGGAAGGUAGAGUGUACACUGCAAUGUAUGAAAGAAAAUUCCAUAUUUUUCUCUCUCCUCUCUGAAAUGCUCUCGGCGUAGGAUCUGCUAGCGUGCGCCGUGGGGAGUAUGGCAGGAAAGAGACGGCAAGGGAGACCUAAGAAGCAAAGGGUAAUCGCAUUUGGGAGUAAGUAUGAAGGAAGUAGGAUCACAGAUGAAAGAUCUUCGCAAGCAGACUAUAGAAACAGCAACUAACAAUGGGAGUGCAAUAAGGUUGAUGAAUGAGCACAUUGGUAGCUCACAAUUGAUCCAACGGAGUAUCAACUGGAGCCCAGAGGCUACACGAGAGUUAUCAACUCCAGAUCUGGUGGUUUCAGCCACAAAGGCACCAAUGAAUACUGUUCCAUUACUGGUGAACACUGUUCCAUUGAGUACUGUAGAUCCAGUGGGAAGGCACCAUCUGAAGGGGCAUACAGGGGACUUGGAACCAGAUCCAGUGGGAAUGAAGAAGGCUAAUCCAUGGGUUAGCUUAUUUGCGGGAAAUCGAGUUGCCAGCAACGGUAUGUCCUUAAAUUAUAUUACACCUGAGCUAGUUAAUGGAAAACUGGUAGUCAAGCUGGAUGAAAAGGAGCAAGAGAAAGAAGAAGUGUAGUGGAAACACUCGCUGGUUUUGUAUGUUAUUGGGGAAAUGCCAGGAUAUAAUUAUAUGAAGUGACAUCUCACAAACAUGGGCUAAUGUGGCAAACCCUGACCUGUUUUACCAUGAUGAGGGCUAUUAUGUGGUGAAAUUUCAAUCUGAACCUGACUUGAAGGAGAUCUUAUUUGCAGGGCCAUACAGCAAAAACAAUAAGCCUAUGAUCUUAAAACAAUGGACACCCAAACUUGACUUCAAAUCAGAGUUCUUAACUGAUAUCCUCCUCUGGGUAACAUUUCCAAAGUUGCCAUUAAAUUGCUGGGGGUGUGGCUCUCUUAGUAGAAUUGCUAGUGCGAUAGGAAUUCCAAUAUUUGCUGAUGAAUGUACAACCAAACAAACAAGGAUAUCCUAUGCUCGAAUGCUUAUUGAGGUGGAUGUCACCAAGCCAAUCCCUACAGAGAUUACGGUCAUGGAUGCUCGUGGUCAAUCAUUCCAACAAGUGAUUGUAUUUGACUGGAAGCCUGAGUAUUGUGAAGGUUGUAUGAUGGUGGGACAUAACUGUCACAAGGAUAAGCCCAAGCAAGUUGGCCAACCAAGGACAAAACAAACUCAUCCACCAGUCAAACAGAAACAACCUUGGAUGGUUAGAAAAGUUCUUGGAGCAAAGGAUCACCUACAUGUACUGCAUCAUGCUAUUGAUGGCAAGAGAAGUAUGAUAAAGCAAGCCUAUAAUCAAAUGCUAGGUGAUUACCCAAAGGUCGAUUGGAGAGGUCUCAUAUGUCGCAACUUAACAAGACCUAAAGCCAUUUUUAUCUUAUGGCUGCAAAUCCAGAACAGACUCCUUACAACAGAUAAGUUGCUGAAAUGGAGAAUGCAAGUAGAUCCUAAAUGUGUUAUGUGUAAGCAGGAAGCUGAAACAAGAGACCACUUAUUUUUUGAGUGUGUAUUUGCCAACUCCUUAUGGAGGAGAUUACUCCAAUGGACUACCAUCAGUCAACCUCCAAGGUAGAAUGCACGCAGACCUUACCCCUACCUCGAGGAGGUAGAGAGGUUGUUUCCGUUUUGGGUAGAAGCUAAUGGUAAAACUAAAGAAGCUAACAACUCAAGCUAGGUUUAAGUUUUCAUACUCAUACCAUUAAGAUGUUAGGGUUCAAGCCACAAAACAAAGGUAAGGUUUUGUCCAUAAGCCUCAAUGUGAUAGUGGAAGAUUAGUGCCUCAGGCUGCCCUUUACUCAGAUAUGCAACAAUUGACAAAAGCAUAUACUGAUAGAAAAAGGGGAAACACAAAACCAACAGAAAAAAGGGCUUACCAUAGUAUUACGUGAUUGCACAAAAAGGGUUGAAACAGCCAUAGAUGCAGUAUAGACAUCAAAUUGAAACUGCUCUUCAAAAUGGAGUAAUCUCUGGUUUGGGAUUAAACUCUUCUUCCAUAACACUCACUCGGAACAGAGUUCACAGAGUACUGAAACAACAAAGCUUCUAUCUUUUUUUCAAUUUUUAGCUAGAAUUAUCGAAUUGACAUUUUAAAAAAAAAAGUAAAUAAAGAAAUUAUUUGUUAUUCUAAUGGUGGUUAGACCUUAAUUUAAUUUAGGUAAUUAAAUCUCAAUUUUCAAUUCAUAAUUAUGACAUGUGGCUACUAUCUAAGUAGGUACUUGGGAAAAUGGAGAUAUUGGUAAUGGAGUGGAGCCUCAUUCGAAACCGCAACUUGCAAGUCAUGUGGCGCCUUUCCAUUACUCAUCCUCUCUAUUUUCGAAAGUACCUACUUAGAUGACAGCCACAUGUCAUAAUUAAGAAUCAAAUAUUGAAAUUUAAUUACCUAAAUUAAGGUAAGGUCUAACCAUUAUUAGAAUAACAAAUAAUUGCUUUAUUUAUUCUUAAAAAAAUUAUCAAACUCACUAUUCUAACUAAAAAUUAUCUCAUAAAUUUAUUUUAAAAAUUCACUAUUUUCCAUUUGAGUAACGAGCUCAUCUUUUCAGAGUUCAGAGGGUACUGAAAGAAGAAGGCUUCUAUCAUUUUCCAAUUUAGUACGUAUAUAAUAUUUCAAAAUUAUUAAGAAAAAAAAUACUUUUAAGUUGUAAUUAACAUAUUAAAAAUUAGAGGUGCCAUUAUUUAUUCUAUUCUAUUUCCAAAUAAACUUGAAGUGAUAUGAAAAAAUAUUACUCACUCUAUUCCAUAUUAACAAAAUAAAUGGUGUACAUGACCGGGUUGGUUCGGGUUUUUCAAAUACCAAACCAAUCCAUUGUGUCGAAUUUUUAAAUUUAUAAAUCAAACCAAACUAAUAAACCUCGNNNNNNNNNNNNNNNNNNNNNNNNNNNNNNNNNNNNNNNNNNNNNNNNNNNNNNNNNNNNNNNNCUUCAAAUAUUUCUUUAGUCCAACCAAAAUACAAUUAUCUAAGGUGUUUCUUAAGAAAAUAACACAAAAUAUGAGAUGAGUACUGAUGACACUAAAAUAUUCAAUAUAAAAUAAUAUUGCAAAGUCAUAAUGAAAAUGAUCAUAAUUUAAAAAACUAAAUCAUGCUAAAAUAAGUUUAAUAAGUAUUAGUUACAUUACUAAAUAUUUAAGGAAAAUUAAAAUUAGAUUAUGUAUUUUAAUUGUCUAAACCAAUGUAAAACUAAAGAACAAAUAUUCAAUAUUAUUGUCAUUCUUAGUGUUGAAUUGAUUUUCUUUUUGCAUUAGUAUUAAUUUGAUUUUGAUUUAAGUUUUAUUAUAAUUAUCAACAUCUAUGAACUAUAAUCUUUAUUGGACCAUUCCGAAUUCUAAGUUUUAAACUUGAAAUAAUAUAUUAAAAGAUAAAAACUAUGAAAUAGUAUAAGAAAUAUUUUAAAAUUAUAUCAAAGUAAAUAUUUUUAUGUAUAAAAUAAAAUUUUAAAAUUACAUAUAUAAUGUCGGGUUGGUUUGGUCUCGGUUUGUUUUUCUUUUUAGUUAAAAACAAACCAACCCAAAUAUAGUAGGGUUUUUUUUUUCCAAUACCAAACCACUAGUCGGAUUGUUUUUUCGGUUUGACUCGAUUCACGGUUUGGUUCGGUUUUGUACACCCCUAAGUUAAAAUUUAUGAGACAAUACACACUUAUUAAAAAAACAUUUAAUGACAUAAUUUAAAUCAUACUUUCCAUUAUUAUUCUUUGAGAAAUCAUAAAUAUAACUUUGUAAAUAGUGCAAUUUAUCUUCUAGAAAAUAUCAAACUUCAUUAAAGAAAAGAACAAAUAUAAAAAAAAAAUUAAACAUCUAUCUUAAAUUUUGAACAAUUUAAUUAUUUGAAUAAUGAAAAAAACCCAAAAGUUCUACUAAUAUUUCAAAAACAAUGAAUGAAGGUAAAAAAAAAAUUAAGGAAAAAAAUGUUUAAAUACAAGACAAAAUUUUUAAAAGAAAAUUACGUGUAUUGACUUAAUUUAAAUACAAAAUAAAAAAAAAUAAAAAGAUUUCAAAAAUUAAAAAAAUAAUUACACUUGCAAAUACAAUCAACUUACCUAAUUGAAGAUGCCACAAUAUCGAAAAAAUAAAUUCAGGGAGAGGGUAAUAAGACCCUAAUUAACUUAAUGUGUGUCGCACUGAUGCAUUAUCCCCUUAAUUUAAUCAAACUAUCAACUAUAUUAUCCACGUAGCAUCAAGAAUGUGUAUUUUGGUGUAUGAUUAGUUCUUUCAAAGUCACCAAAAUGUAAAAAAAAAAAAGUGAUUGAGUUUUUUUUACCCACACAUUUUUUUUCUUAGGUAUAUUUAUGUAAUUAACUUUUCAGCUACAGAGCAUAUAUAUAUAUAUGCAACCUCUGUAAUUCAACAGAUUACAAGACUUAACGAUUUUUCCCACCCAAAAUUAUAACCGCUUCAUCUUCCACUACUUCCUUCCUCCUCCAAAUUUCCAGUUCUUUAAUCCAUACUUCAAAUUCCACUUUUUCAGCUUCAUUCCAACUUCAGAUGAACUAAUUACAAAUGGGGAGAAAAUUCCAUAAAGGAUUCCGGGAUAGGACUCCAAAAAGAAUAUCAUUUUCUGCAAAAAUUCCCAAAAAUAAUCCAAAAAUUGAUCAUGUUCUAGUGCUUUUUCUUCUAACGUUUUUUAUUUUGAUUCUUUCUUUCUAUCUUUGUUUAUGUUACCUUGAGUAGCGUUAUUUCUUUCCGUUUAUUUUUUCUUUUUACUCAAGAUUAUCAAAAAGUAGAUUCGAAAAGAAAUUUGUGCAGAAAAUCGACCUCAGGUAAGAUGAUUUAAUUGAUUGUGGUUAUUGUAUAAAGAAUCUUUCAAGAAACGGGAGAUUAAAGUGAUAUCGUCAACGCCUUAAAUUUUCAGUUUGAAGUUGUUAAGACAUUAGAAUGAAAUUGUGAAACUCUGCUUUUCAGGAUAUCGUCAGCGCCUUAUUUCUCUAAUUGUUGAGUUAAUUAAUGUGUUUUCUCUCGCAGUGAAUCCUUCAUACAACAGAGUAACCAUGGAUCUCUUACCUAAAGGUCUUAACAAAGGGAUUGCAAUUAUAGGAAUUGUCUGGUGCUUAGUUAAGUGUGAGAAUAAAGAAAGUAGAUAUGAAAUCCAAGAAGUUGUUGGAAAGGGGAGCUAUGGUGUUGUUGCAUCAGCAGUUGAUACUCAUACAGGAAAGAAGGUAGCUAUAAAGAAGAUCAACAAUGUUCUUGAGCAUGUCUCUGAAGCCACCCGUAUUCUUAGAGAAUUUAAGCUCCCAAGGUUGCUUCGACACCCAGACAUUGUAGAAAUAAAGCAUAUACUAUUACUUCCAUGUCCGAGAGAAUUCAAGGAUACAUAUGUUGUUUUCGAGUUGAUGGAGUGUGAACUUCAGCAUGUCAUUAAGGCCAACGGCAGUCUCACGCCUGAACAUUAUCAAUUUUUCUUGUAUCAGCUUCUUCAAGGUUUAAAAUAUAUGCAUACAGGUGGCUGUCCCUCAUUUUUCUUUCUGGUAUUUUAGUUAGAUUUCUAUUUUACAUAUUUUGUGGCUUAUUUCUAAUUUAUUGAUUCAACAGGAAACGUGUUCCAUCAAGAUUUGAAGCCAAAGAAAAUUUUAGCAAAUGCAUAUUGCAAGCUGAAACUUUGUGAUUUUGGGCAGCAUUUGGCGAUACUCCAAUGGUUCAUCAGGUCUAUAAAUUGGUGAAAUGGAUCAAGCCACAACCUUUGUUCUACAAACUAAACAGUGAUGGUAGUUGUAUUGAGGAGGGUAUGUGUGGGGCUGGUGGAGUUAUAAGGGAUAGUAACGGGCAUAUGAUUCUAGUGUUUUCAGUGUUCCAAGGGCCUGGUACAAGUAAUUGGGCGAAGGAGCCAGCAACAUUGUAUGCUUGACUUCUUCUUUUGAGCUACUGACGGAUUUUUGGUUAGUAACACUUGCUAGAAUGUAACAGUAGGUGCGGAUGUAUGAAAAACAAUAGACAGUUUGGCUACCAAGACCUGGCCAUUUCAUCUGUAUGCGUUCUAGAUUAGUUUUAUAUGCUUCGACAGCUUCAUCGAAUACAAUGAAUGAGAAUAGUUUUAUAAUUGUUCUUUGUCAAUUGUCAUCUCUUUUUAUGUUACAGAAAUGCAAGUUAUUUACCUCCUAUUUGUGAUGACUUUCAUAGGGUUGGAAAAUCUCUUUCCAUUCUAAGUAGCGGAGACAAAACCAUAUACUGAUAGAAAAAGGGGAAAUUCAAAACAAAACAAAACAAAAAGGGGUUUACCAUAGUAUUAGGUGAUUGCACAACAAAGGGUUGAAACAGCCAUGGAUGAAGUAUAGACAUCAAAUUGAAACUGCUCUUCAAAAUGGAGUAAUCUCUGGUUUGGGAUUAAACUCUUCUCCCAUAACACUCACUCGGAACAGAGUUCGCAGAGUACUGAAACAACAAAGCUUCUACAUCUUUUUUUCAAUUUUUAGCUAGAAUUAUCGAAUUGACAUUUUUUUAAAAGUAAAUAAAGAAAUUAUUGUAUUUGUUAUUCUGGUUAGACCUUAAUUUAGGUAAUUAAAUCUUAAUUUUCGAUUCUUAAUUAUGAUAUGUAGCUACCAUCUAAGUAGGUACUUAGGGAAAUGGAGAGGAUGAGUAAUGAAGAGGAGCCUCUUCCAAAAAGUAGAGCCGUCAAUAUGGGCUAGGCCCGUAGGGCCGGCCUGGCCUAACUCGUGAUUUGAUAGGGCUGAACUACGAUUUUUGGAGUCCAUUUAAGAAAAAGGCUUUUUAGCUCAGCCUGAAUAAGUCUGCCGAUUUGUGGGGCUUGAGAACUAUGGAUAGGGCCGGCCCGUGGGCUAAAUAAAAAUAAAAUAGAGUAUUAAAAAUUACAAGAGUCUAAACUCAAAAUCUAUUAAAAGUUUGAAAUAUUACAAUUUAAAUAUAAAUUAUAUUUAUAAAAUAUGUACUAUAUAAAAUAAAUUUUUCCUAAAAUCUCUAGGGAAUCACUAAAUAGGUCGUAACCUAGGGAAUGUUGUCAUAGUUUUUGUGUUUUAUUAUGAUCAUUGGAAAACAAUUAGGUUAAUAUUUCUAUUUAGCUAUUUAUGCUUUUUAGAAAUCAAAACUUAAUAAAUAUUAUAAAGAUAAUUUUAUUUGUUUGAUUUGAUUAACAAGUAGUAACACUAACACCAUGUAAUAUUGUCUUGUCGAUAUUUAUGAUAAUAUUUUUAAAUUAAAUUUUAAUUUAAAAAAUUAUAAAAAAAUUACUUCUAAAAAAAGAGGGCAGGCCCGGCAAAGUCCGUAGCCCACGUACUUAUGGGCUGGGCCGACCAUUUCCUGGCCCACACAAAAAAUGGGCUAGCCCGUAAAAUUUCAAAGCUUGUAUGGGUUAGCCCAGAUGGGGUGGGCCAGCCCAUAUUGACAGCUCUACCAAAAAGUAUGUAAGUUUUGGGUCGUGGGUCGCUCACGUGGACCGACCCAAGAAAUUGUCUGAUAAGAGAUAAGAACUACUUAUCUCUUAUUUGAAAAAGAAGGGAGAAACAGUUAUUAAAUUGAAAACUUCCCAACUCCUCUUAAUAAAAGGAUUUAUUCCUUUACAGUCAAAAAGAGACAGACAACGUACAAAAAAAAAACAACAAAAGAUAACACAAAUCAGAAGAAAAAAAAAUAACUUCUUAUGUCUGAGGAUAGACAUUUAGUUUGUGAAUCAAACUUUGCUUCCUAGUGAUUCAAUGCAAGACUUUGGAGCAAUCGACUUUCGCUGCGAAAUAUAAGGUAUACAAUUCGUCGAUUUCUUUCUAUAGAUCCUACAAAGUGGAAGUCAUAUAACUUACCAAAUGGAGUGACAAAUAUCAAGCAAAGAAAAAAAAAACGUGAGAAGAGAUAAAAAGUAAAAAAUUGUUAAAAUAAGUACUUUAAUUUUUUUUAAAAAUUGAAUUCAAUAUAAAUAAUCCUAAAUAUUUUUUAAAAAGGAUUCAUAAAAAUUGAACCAAUAGAGUUUAAAUUCUACAUAAAUUAAAGUCAACCAUUAAUUAAUAUAUUAAUAUCCCCUCUUUAAAUCUCCACCUAUUGUAAUUAAUAAAUAAACUUAGCUCAAUCAAAACGAACUCAAAUAUAAGUGAAAACACAUAAACAUUAUAUGUGAUCUUCACCUCGAGGUUGAGUUAUUAAACAGGCUUAACAAUGAAUUUAAGUAGAUUUAAUUUAUAAAUAAUUAUCACUAAAUACUAAGCAAAUAGUAACAGAAUAAAUUAAGAGAAACAUAGAAACAGAAGGGACUCCUCUUCAUUACUCAUUCUCUACAUUUCUCCAAGUACCUACUUAGAUAACAGUCACAUGUCAUAAUUAAGAAUCAAAUAUUAAAAUUUAAUUACCUAAAUUAAGGUCUAACCAUGAUUAGAAUAAUAAAUAGUUUCUUUAUUUAUUUUUAAAAAAUUAUCAAACUCAUUAUUCUAGUUAAAAAUUAUCUCAUAAAUUUAUUUUAAAAAUUCACUAUUUUUCAUUUGAGUACCGAGCUCAUCUUUUCAGAGUUCAGAAAGUACUGAAAGAAGAAGGCAUUUAUCAUUUUCCAAUUUAGUACGUACAUAAUAUUUAAAAAUUAUUAAGAUUACUUUUAAGUUGUAAUUAACAUAUUAAAAUUAGAGGUGCUAUUUAUUUAUUUUAUUUUAUUUACAAAUAAACUUGAAGUGAUAUGAAAAAAUAGUACUCACUUAAUUCCAUAUUAACAAAAUAUAUGAGACAAUACACACUUAUUAAAAAAAACAUUCAAUGACAUAAUUUAAAUCAUAUUUUUCAUUAUUAUCCUUUGUAAAAUCAUAAAUAUAACUGUGUAAGUAGUACAAUUUAUCUUCUAGAAAAUAUCAAAUUAAACUUCAUUACAGAAAAGGAUAAAUAUGAAUGAAAAUAUUAAAAUAUCUAUCUUAAAUUUUAAACAAUUUAAUUAUUUAAACAAUGAAAAUAGGCCCAAAAAUUAUGCUAAUAUGAAAUAGUCAAAUAAAGGGAAUACUUUACUCAUAUUAUUUUGUUGCUGGAGAGGCAAAAAGAGGGGGGGGGGGGGGGGGGGUAAAAAAGGGAAAGGUCACACGUAGUUUAUCGUAUACAAACUACAAACUUAUUCCAUAGAGGAAAGGGAAAAGAAAGAGAGAGGAAAAAAAAGAAAAAGACAUGAGGAAAUAAAAAGAAGAAAGAAAAAAAUACUUAGUUUGACUUAUAAAGAGUUUAAAAAAUAAAAUAAAAGAUUUUUUAAUUUUGUAGUCCUAAAUUAAAGUUAUAUCAAAUAUACAAAAAUGCACUUUAAUUUUAUAAUCUUAAACAUGUCACGUGUAAAAAGCUGAUAUUAAAUUGUUGCCAAAAGAGGAACCUGUUUUUUAAACCAAAAGAGUAUCAAAUUAGGUAUAGUGGUAUUUACUUUUCCUAGUUACUAUCAAAUUAGGAUUUUUCAGACCGUCUAGGAUUAUAUUUGUUGCUCUCUUUAUAAAUACAUUCAUAAGUACUAGCCUAGAUUUUAUAACUAUACCUUAGCUUAUAUUUUAAUCGCAACCAAAUAAUGGUCCUUAGAAGCAUAUGGCAAGAAGAGACCCUCGUAGAUAUCAUGGACAUGAUACUGAAAAGAGUUGGCAUUGGUGACUAUGUACGUAUGACUCUCGUUUGCAAGUCAUGGAGAUCAAUGCUUGCUCAUCUCAAGCCAUCACAUCAUCUUACCGCCCCUUGGCUUUUACAGAUAAAAGAUUGCGUGUAUAACGAUCAUAUAGGAUUCAACUUCUAUAGUUUGUGUGAGGGUCGUUUUUAUUCUUUCAAAUUGCCUACUCAUAUCUUGAAUAAAUAUCCUAAGGUAUCUCAUGGUGUUACGUUCUGUUGUGCAACUUCUAAUGGUUGGUUGGUUCUUGUUGCUGGACCGGACCAUAACCCUGAUAUGUUCCUUUUUGACCCUAUUUCAGAAAUUGAUGUCAGACUCCCUCCAUUGACGACAAUACCAUUCUCCUCAACAUAUAUUGAGGAGCAUUGUAGAAUAGCAUGCAUGAUCUAUACGGUUUACGUAUUUUCAAUCUCGGAUGAUCCGACUAGAAAUCUUAUAACUGUCACGGUUUUUGGGGAUGUACUGAAUGAUGAAGAAAUCUUGGCAUUCUGUAAUUGUGAUAUUGGAGUCAAAGAAGAAGAGAGAUCGUGGAAGAUAUUUGAUGCAGAUGGAGCAAUUAGCGGCUAUAAUACUGAGAGCAUGUUAUUUCAUGAUGGUGUGUUAUACAUUCUUAUUUCAAAUAAGGAUUAUGAUGAUUUUAACAAUUUUAAGUCAAGUCAGGAUGAUAAGAGAAUCGGUGACGAAAUCAAUCAUGUUAUCAUUCUCAAGACCGACUGUUGUGAAGUGAAGAUGAAAAUAAUUGAUAUAGUAAAACACAACACAGCUCCUCAUAUUCGGCCUUGUGAUAAUAAGCUUCGCUUUAUUGCUUAUUCUGGCCUAAGAUAUGUGUAUUUGGCUAAGUCAAUUACGGGGGAGUUGCUUAUAAUUUGGAACAACACAGAUCCGUUGUCUGAACAUGAGGAUGAUUAUGAACUUCAUAUCUAUCAUACUAGUAAAUUAACAAUCGAGCGAUAUCAAGGUAUCUCUAAAACAAGUAAGGAUUUUGAAUCUAUCACUAGUUUGGAUGAUCAAGCACUAUUUGUGUCGCCAAAUAGCAACUCUUUCUCAAUUCCUGCAAGAAGUGAUCGAAAUGGAUGUCAAGCAAAUUGCAUCUAUUUUACUAUGGAUGGCAUUGAUGCUCUCUACAAGAAAUCUUUAACUCUUUAUCGUCAAUCGGGUAUUUACUUAAUGCAAGAAGAAAGGAUCAAACGACCUUUUCCUAAUCCACCAUUGUGGUUUCAACCACAACUUCGCAAUUAAAACUUUGUAAUAUAAUUGGUACGUUUCCUUGUUUUCUUUUUCCUUCUUUCUUUGCGAUUAUUUAGACAACUCGCAACCUUCGGGUUGGAAGUGAGGGGCGCUUACCCUCUCGUCAAAAUAUUAAGAAAAAAUCGUGUCUUUAAGUUUGUAUUCAAGAUGGUGUGAUACUUAUUUUAUACAUAGUUACUAAUUUAGUGUGGAACAUAAAUAUAUGUAUAAAAAUUUGUAAAUGGCAUCUAUUUUACUGUGGAUGUGCUUGAUACUCUCCACAAGAAAUCUCCAGCCCUUUAUCGUCAAUCGGGUAUUAAUUUAUUGUAUGCAAGAAGGAAGGAUCAAACGACUUUUUCCUAAUCCACCAAUGUGGUUUCAACCACGACUUAGCAAUUAAACAACCACAUUCAUUUUCGUUGCUUAGUAGUGAUUUCAUAUGUAUUAUUAUACAUGUUAUUCAAGUUUUGGAUGUUCAAAUUAUACUUAAGUUAGUUAUAAGUUAAUACAUAUGUUUUAUAAUGUGCCUUCCGGUCUUAGUAACCUAAGUUGAUGGCUGAAAGUUAACUUAGUUUUCCCUUACUUAUAUUAAGUUGUCCCCUGAAUCUAAUAUCUUUUAGGUCUUAUCUAUUUUUUCUUCCUAAAAUCAUAUAUUUAUCCUAACUUUCAUAACUAAACAUUUUAAGUCGCUACUUUGAUAGUAUUUCUUGUCUUUUUUUAGUGGAGAUCUACUCGAUUGCCUAUUGAAGAUAGACCCCUAUCUAUGCUAACUAUGUUUGUUUGGUACGUUUAUUACAUCAUGUUUGUCAUCCUACUGUAAUUUAUGGUUAUUUCCUACAUAAAAAUAUGGACAUGGAUGUUUUUUACAGCAAUCAUGAAUUUUUUUUUAUCAUCACUAUAUAGAAAGAAAGAAAAAAAAAUUGUGCUUUGAGUUCACAACACACAGAAGACCAUAUUAUAGUCUUGACAAUUGCCCCUAAUAAGUUGAUAAGGAUAUCCAUCACUGGCAUACGAACAAAUCAAUUAUGUUUAUAUGUUUAUUAUGGAGUAACUAACAACCGAAAAAGUAGUUUCUGUUUAUCUUCAAUUACUGUCAAUUUUUUUGCCAGCCCCUUAUCCUUCCAUUGACUUAUCUUUGAGCGAUCGGCUACAACGAUUUACAACUAACAUCACAAUAUAAUGGUAAAAACGAUCCAAACAAUAAACCACCUUCUUCUUUUUUUAACAAGCGUGUUACUAUAAACAAAAAUCCAAAAUAGACUCGUAUAGUUUCACUGAGUUACUAAAUUAGAAUCUACACUACGGAGUAGUAAUUAAUUAGUCUAAAUAAUUUUAAUCUGAUAAUUUAAGACAUCGUUACAUUAUGAUAUGUAUACGAGUAAAUAGUAAUAGUUAUAACUUAUCUAAAAGAAAUUAAUAAUAAAAAUUAGAAAUCACUACUCUUUUAAUAUAUUUUUUUGCGACGUCUUCUUAACAAAUUCACCAAAUAUUUGGACAUCCAUGUAUAUGUAUCCAGUACCUUAUGUUGAAUGAAUUUUGGGAACUCGCCGCCAUCUUCAAAAUUUAGCAUAGUUAAAAAUAUUAGAGUUUUAGCCCUAAUUUUUUUUUACCUUAUUUGAGCUUUACUUCUUUUCUUGUAGGAAAGUCAAAACAUCAUUAUAAAUGUUUUACUUUUCGAAAUUGAAGAAUACAACAACAUCCACAAUAUAGUCGUUUAAGAGUUUUGUUUAGGGAGAGAUUUUCUCCCUAAUUAAGAUGUUUAUGUUUUUCAAUAUAAGUUUUAUAAUAUGUAGGUCAAUUGACCAAAUCAUAUGCGUAAUAUUUUGAUUUUUUAGUAUAGUUCUUUAUCAUAUGAUUUUUUAGUAUAGUGAUGUGAGACCAAAAAUAUAUAUUUUUAAUCAUUAUUUGUGUCACAUUCAUAAUUUGUAUUUGUCUUUUUUGAGCGUAAAUUUUAUGAAUUGUGCUAAAUAAUUAAUGUUUUGCCUUGAUUUUCGCUUACACAAAUGCAGUUGGGUUGAUACUGCAAUCUUCUUAGUUUCUUGUUGUCUAACUCGAGAGGAGAAAAUACUCACGGAAUUUGUUGUACGUUCCUCCAAGCAGUCACUAUAUACUCGAGUUAUUAGGCUCCUCUUGUUUGGUCUAGUCCCGUAAAGCAAGGCUUACUUCGUUAUAUAUUAUUGUCUUAAUUUGAUCUCUACUUUUGGAGGUGGAAAUUUUGUGGAGGAGAGUUUAUAGCAGUACUAUUUGAACGUCCAGGUGCGGAGUUUCCUAUUAGGCAAGUACUCUCUGCAUGUGCGAAUUGGGACGUUGGAACUUACAUUUGUUGUCAUAUGGGGACAUGCACAGAUUUCCAUUUGGAAUAUGAAGUCAUACAAUGGAUGGUUCCUUUCUGUGGACAAUUGGCUCGACACUGGGCAGGAUGAUUUAGGUGGUGCGUACAUUGCUAAAUCAUAAUGCCCAGUGUCGAGCCAAUUGUCCACAGAACUACAAGAGCCUUGCAAGUAAAGGUUCAUAUGCUAAUGAACCUUUACCUACUGCAGAUCAAAUGCAUAUGAACUAUUGGAAGCAGUUGCUAAAAGACGUAUAGGCUACAUUGCAAAGUUGUAUGAUUGGGGAGAUAUUAUGAUAUAUACUGCUAUACUUACGAUUCUAACAUCGGUUCAAGUGACAUCUUACAUGGUAGCACUUGUUGAUCGUUACUAUGACUCACUGACUAGAAAUCUUAUUAAUUAGCUCUACUCUACAAGAUAGUGUUAAUUUUAGCAAUUCCAGGGAACCCAAGAUUCUUGUUAGUUGUAAUUAUUUCUUCAUUUUUUUUUUUUAUAGAUUACGUUACAAAUCGUAGUGGAACUUCAUUCUUUUUAUUUAUUCUUAUGAAUAGAAGUCAAGGGCGAAUUCGCAGUCAGGCUCCAGUAUACCAAACACAGGAUGAAAAACUAAAAAGAAAACGUAUAUUUUUUCUGAGUUUCACCCAUUAACAUUAUGAAGUUUAUCAGUUCUCAUAAAAGCAAAAUGUAAUGGUGUUUGGAGGCGAAUUUGUGAACGAAAGGGUUUAAAGUGGGAAAUUGUGAACAAAAUUCACUUUCAGAAGCAAAAACCCAUUUUCAGAGCUAUAGUUCAUAAGCUCUCCCCUGUUUUAAGGCUCCUCAUUUGCAAAGUCACAACUCUUCAUUUUUUUUUAGAGACAUCAAUAUAUUUUAAAAAAAAGUUAUGGCAACAAAAGUUCUUGACAAACAUGUAUGCAUACCAAAAGAUUGUUAAUACAAAAAGAUACUAAAUAAAAUACUUGAAAAGAUUAUGAAAAAUUGAUAUUUCAUUGAGAAAAACACAUGUAUAAAGAGGGACGAAAGUUGAGCAUGACUUGUUUUUGUGGAAUAUAGCAAAAUAAACAGAGCAUUGAAAUAAACCUUUUGUAAUAACUCUGCACUGAUUUGAGCUGUUAACAAAGCUCAAGAAUUCUGAUCACUGUACUCUGUAGAAGCUUGUAAUUUCUUCCGUGAAAGUUGUUAGAAUCUUCGACCCUACCUGAAUCUUCAUUGCAAUAACUCUCUACUUUGUAGAAGCUUGUAAUUUCUUUUCGUGAAAGUUGAUAGAAUCCUCAACCCAAAAUACUACCUAGAAUCUUCAUCACUAAUAAAAGGGGGGAAAUCGAGCCAAGAACACACAAAUGUAAAGGAGAAAAAUCAGCCCAAACAAGACAAGAAAAGUAAAACCCGCCAUUGCAGCUACAUCAUUGUUUACUGGUGCGUUCAAAGAUGAACGACUUGAGAUCUUCAUCUUCUUUGAAGAUGCUUUCAUGGUGGCACAAUGCACCUUCUUCGUUUUACCGGCCAUUUUUGCAGAACAAAUUUUCUUUUCUGUUUUUUUUUUUCGUUUUGGGAAUUGGAGGGAGUUAACUGCUUUUGAUAGUAAUAUAUAUAUAAUAGAGUUAUCACCCUUAAAGCUUUGUACAUUUAAUAAAAUGCACACCUAAAUUAUUAAUUACCCCCUCAAACAUUAUUUUUUGGAACUAUUUACCCCUAAUUUAUGAGAAGUUUUAAUUAUCCCCUUAAAUAUGAAUUUUUGGUACUAUGUAUCCCUAAAUAUGCCACAUGGCGUAAAAAAAAUUAUUAUGUCCCAAUUUAGAUGACUAUCUUAAGAGAAAUGACAUAUUCCUCUGAUUGUAUAUUUUCCAUUUUAUUUUUAAUGAAACUGAAAAUUAAAUUGGGCUCAUCAUUGAAAAUUUUCUUAAAAUGGGUAACGGCUGGAAUGAGUAAAGAUUAAAUCAAAUUCAAAUUAUUUUAGUUCAAUCCUUAGAAUUCUGACGGAUUGAACGAGUUACCGUUACUUGGGUUCAUGUUUUACACCCCUAAUUUUAUUUAUGAGGAACUUUCGCAAACAACCACUAUAAUAAACUUAAUUAUACUCCAUAGCUAUAGUUUGCAUAUUUACUGGUUGUAGCUAUAGUUUAAGCUGUCUCGUUUGUAUAAUUCGCAGAUUUGUAUAAUUUGCGGGUAUAUUUGUAUAAUUCAAUUAUUUUUAAACUCGAAAUAACGAAUUUAUACCAUUACAAACAUCAAAAGUGUAAACAAUUAUACAGAAGUUAUACAAAUUAUAUUAUACAAAAUCUGAAUUAUACAAACGUGCGAAUUAUAGAAGACUAAAAAGCUGAGCCGCGUAAUUAUAGCUAAAAGUAGAUCGCGAAUUGUAAUUAAGGCAAACUAUAGCGCUAUGUUAAGUAAUUAACUAGUAUAUGUUUGCCUAUACGCGUAAUUUUCCCUUUUAUUUAAUUAUUUGUCUUCACUUCAAUUUAGUCUCCACUCCUAUUCAUAUGAUCUGGUGAUCUUACGUUCUUUUAAUUGUUGUGGUAGGAGUUUAAUUCUUGGUUUAUUUUCGUUUGUGUCAUUGUUUUAGUAUAAGUGGAUAGGGGUGUACAUGGGUGGAUUGGUUCUAGUUUUUCAUAUAUCAAAUCAAAUUAUUUUUGUCAGAUUUUUAAACUUAUAAAUCAAAUUAAACUAGUAAAAUUCGGGUUUUUUUUAAUCUGUUCGAUAAAGUAUUUCUACAAACAUAUAACUAACUUGUGCUUCAAAUAUUUCUUUAGAUAAAUAUUUUUGUAUACUUAUACAUAAAAAUAUGUAUACGUAUAUGUAACUGUAUUCUUGUAUAUAUGUUUUUUUGUUGUGAUAUUCAGUCGUAUAUGUAUAUGUGUAUUAUAUGUAUUUAAAUAUGUAUAUGUAUAUGUAAUAUUUUUGUAUUCAAAUAGAUUUAUAUAAAAAUCUCUCUCUCGCUUUAUACAAACACAAAUUACACAUUGUAUUUUGUAUAAUUCAUGUUUAUAUAAACCGAGAAAGAGAGAAAGGCAAAAGAGAAUUGAAUAGGAGAAGAUUUGUAUGGUAUAAUUAUAAGUGUAUAGGACAAAGAUAUAUGUGUGUAAUGACCCUCCAGGUCAUUUUUAUAACUUGAAAAGUUGACUUUGGUCAACUUUCUUGGAAGUCGUGCUCAGAUGAAAAUUCUGACAGCUAAUUUAGCUUCGGAAGAUCGAUUUUGGUCUAGAACGACCCUUUGUUCACUUCCCAAGGCUUUAGAUGGCAGUUGUGGAAUCUGACUCAAAUGAUACUGGGUGUGGGACCCACUUUUCAUCGAAGCAAUCUCCAAAAUGGAAAUUCCGCCUUCACCGUUGAGUCCGGAAUAUUGUUUCCAAUCAGAUUCCAUAUAUGGUUUGUAUUUUUCCGACUCCGAACGAGUCCGAAACAUCGAAAUUUAAGUUUGAAGGGUUGUAGAAUUUUGACGCGGCGGAGGGAAAUCUGGAAAUUUCCAGAUUUUAGGACGAUUUUCGUCCAUUUUUUUCCCUCAACUUCAACAUAAGAUUUUCUCCUUCAUUUUGAGUCAAAAUUAGGUGCUUCAAAAAGGCUAACUUCAAGAGAAUUUCGUGGGGAAUAUAGCGGUGAUCUCAGAAACGCGAGGGGAGGUUUCAUUUGAGGUAAGAAAUCGAUUUUUAGCCACUGCCAGGGUGAUUUCCGGAUUGAAUUGUUGUUGAAUUUUGAAAUGUGAGAUCUUGAUCAUCGUAAGUCCGUUUUAAGUCAUUCUUGGGGCUAACUUGUAAAGUUUUUCGCAAGGAUCGUCGUGGUAUAAUCUGUUUGGGUUGAAAGGGUUUCGUUUUUCCGAAAAUUGGUGAUCAAGGGGCUGCCCUUUUUAAUUAUUGUGGCUGAUUUGCGGUGUUGUAGGCAUCUGUUUGUGCUAAAAUUUUGGGAUAUUAGUUUAGUAAGGUAGUUGGGACGUUUCCACGGAUUCGAUUUUGAGAUUCUAAGUGUGGGCCCCACAAUCCCGUUUUAGACCCGAUUUUGGGUCCGUCUCCGAAAAAUAUAAUUUUAGUGUCAAUAUAUUCGUAAUGACAAGGUGAUUAACCUUUUGUUAGAGGGGAAGCAUUUGGAGACCGUUCGGAGAGGAAAAGAUCCGGUACCGUGAGCUGGAGCACGCGUGAUCGGCUUUCAGGUAGGCUAUGGCUUUCUCUCGUGAGAUUGAGCAUGUUUAGGCAAUUGUUAUUGAUUUGCUUGAGUAUGGAGGGGUUCGGGUGUCGAGCAUGCUAAAUUUCUAUAAUUCCUGCCUUAGACCUUAUUUCGGGAAAGUGUUGGAUUAUGACAGCAUGUCUCUUAAUAUUAUUGAAUAUCCAUAUCUUGUGGUGUAUAUGAUAAUAUUGAUUUGAAGUAUGUUUGGCCUUAGUCUAGGCUUAGACUAGUGUUGCCAUAGACUUGCGAGAUUUCGGAUGUUGUUGGGCAGUAGAACUUUUUCCGACGUCGUUUCGGACGGUCAGCUCCUUGUAGACUGAUAUAGCAGACUUGAGUCUGAUAGUCUGAGCCUUAGCUAGGCGGUAACUCAGCUUAUGACCUUGUAUCCAUAAUGCCCUGUUUUUCUAUCGGCUAUAGUACCCGGUUAAAGUCCGUGGUCUAGCUUACUCACUAUUGGAUACUUCCUCGGCGAUUUGGGGUAUAUGAGAGUUGGACUGAAAUGAUUAUUUAUGGUAAUCGGUUUGGUGAUAUUUCCCGCGACGUAUGGUUGGAUAUUGAUUCUUAGCUACAGUACCCGGUUAAAGUCCGUGGUCCAGCUUACUUAUCUCCAGGCUUAGCUACAGUACCCGGUUAGAGUCCGUGGUCCAGCUUACCUGUGAUCUGGUUUUAGCUACAGUACCCAGUUAGAGUCCGUGGUCCAGCCCAUCCGUGCCCGACCCUUGGCUACAGCACCCGGUUCGAGUCCGUGGUCCAGCUUGCACGUGGUGUAUUCCCAAUUCCUCACUAAAGCUUCAGUUUAGUCUUGAUUACUCUCAUCUGUAGGUUGAGGUUUUGGAGGUUGAAGAGAUUCCGGUUAAAGUCCGGGACGUAAUGAGAUCUUGGAAUAUGAUUGGGAAUGGUUCAGUUAAAAGUCCGGAAAUUGGUAAUAUUGUGAUAGACCUUCUAGCUCCAUUAUUUUACUUCAACUGNNNNNNNNNNNNNNNNNNNNNNNNNNNNNNNNNNNNNNNNNNNNNNNNNNNNNNNNNNNNNNNNNNNNNNNNNNNNNNNNNNNNNNNNNNNNNNNNNNNNNNNNNNNNNNNNNNNNNNNNNNNNNNNNNNNNNNNNNNNNNNNNNNNNNNNNNNNNNNNNNNNNNNNNNNNNNNNNNNNNNNNNNNNNNNNNNNNNNNNNNNNNNNNNNNNNNNNNNNNNNNNNNNNNNNNNNNNNNNNNNNNNNNNNNNNNNNNNNNNNNNNNNNNNNNNNNNNNNNNNNNNNNNNNNGCAUCUAUUUCGUGAUGCAGGUCCGGGCACUAGUAGCCAGCGUUGAUCGAGCUUGGAGUAGACUUAUCCGGAGACGGGGGUGAGCACACGGCGUUUUGUACUAUUUCAGUCUCCAUCUGUAUAUAUAGACUUGUCUUUUUCCUUUCGAGGCAGUCCAGUCUUUGUUGUCCAGUUUUGGGACUUAUACUCAUUUUGUAGUAGCUCUGUACUGGUGACUUCCAGGUUCUGGGAGGGAUCUUUAUUUGUAUAUAUGUUUUUGGUUUGAUUCCGC
RNAcentral lists this long non-coding RNA (70815 nucleotides) under Solanum tuberosum (potato). RNAcentral describes it as "long non-coding RNA (STUB_LNC005376)". Lineage: Eukaryota; Viridiplantae; Streptophyta; Magnoliopsida; Solanales; Solanaceae. The record is from RNAcentral.